RNAcentral lists this long non-coding RNA (49636 nucleotides) under Vitis vinifera (wine grape). RNAcentral describes it as "long non-coding RNA (VVIN_LNC001695)". Lineage: Eukaryota; Viridiplantae; Streptophyta; Magnoliopsida; Vitales; Vitaceae. The record is from RNAcentral.
AAUGUCAAACCUAUUAGUACUCCAUUAGCAGCUCAUUUCAAACUUUCAUCUGCUUUAUCUCCACAAUCAGAUGAUGAUGUUGAUUAUAUGUCACGAGUUCCAUAUUCUAGUACAGUGGGAUCUUUCAUCUAUGCUAUGGUUUGUUCAUAUCUAGAUUUAUCAUAUGCAGUCAGUAGAUAUAUGAAAAUCUUGUAAAAGAACAUUGGAAAGCAGUUUAGUGGAUUGUCAGAUACUUGUGUGAUUUUAUUGAUGUUUAUUUGUAUUUUGGGAAAACUAGAGAUGUAGUUGUUGGGUAUGUCGAUUCUGAUUUUGUUGGUGAUCUUAAUAAAAGAAGAUCACUUACAGGAUAUGUUUUUAUUGUUGGUAGUUGUGCUAUUAGUUGGAAAGCUACUUUGCAGACUAUAGUUGCUUUGUCUACUAUUGAGGCUAAGUACAUGGCUAUUACAAAGGCUUGUAAGGAAGCUAUUUGGUUAAAAGGACUAUUUGGUGAACUUAGUGACAACUUGCAGAUUACCAUGGUUUUUUGUGUUAGUCAGAGUGCUAUUUUUCUCACAAAAGAUCAUAUGUUUCGUUAGAAGACAGAGCACAUUGAUGUGCGAUAUCAUUUUGUGCAUGAUAUCAUUGCUCGUGAUGAUAUUGUUGAGGCCAAAGUUAGCACCCAUGAUAUAUAUGGUGAAGAAAAAAAAUUAUGGAUUUUUCCUACUUUAUUUAUUUAUUUCUCUCUCAUAUAUAUUUUUGAGAUGACAUAUAGGUUUUCGGGGAUUUAUAUAGUAGCCGCUUGAUACUCUUCCUUUUUAUACCAAUUUUUGACAUAGUGGAUUUUUUUUCUUCUCAUUUGCUCGUGGUUUUUCUCGUCUAGGGUUUUAUACAUAAAUAUGUGUAUGUUCUUAUUUUUUCUUGUUGUCUAUUCUCGUUUCAUUUUUUUCAUAACACGGACAAUAUCUACAUAGUUGGGAAUGAGUCGUUGCAAAUGUAUUAGAAUCGAUCAUCGACCUCAAUGUAAGCCUCUAUUUGUUUGACCUUCCAAGGAGUGUCAAUUUGUUUAGUCCUGUAAUCACAUAUAAUAUAACAAGAAUGUUGUAUCUAUAUAAAAGAGUGUUUAUAAUAUCUCACAUCAGAUAGAAGAGAAAGUUCCUAAUGUCAUAUAUGUAUGAGCUUAUCUUAAUUAAGUAAACGUUUAAAGUUGUGAGGGUUUUCUUGGAAUCAAUGCAGAUAAUAUCUACACAAUAAGGAGUGAGUCAUUAUACACCAGGAUUAAUUUCAUUGACCCCUCAUGAGGUUUUAAUUAAAUACGCCUAACAUUUAUUGGUUUGAAAUUUCAUUAUAUGUUUUCCUUAUCAUUUUCAUUUGAUAUUUUCACUUACCUACCCUCUAAUUCAAAAUAAGAAAAGUAUUCAAUGAAUUUUCAAAUCAAUAAGAAUUAGUCAUAUUUAGUUAAAACCUCAUAUUUAUUGGUUUGAAAUUUCAUUAUAUGUUUUCCUUAUUAUUUUCAUUUGAUAUUUUCACUUACCUACCCUCUAAUUCAAAAUAAGAAAAAUAUUCGAUGAAUUUUUAAAUCAAUAAGAAUUAGUCGUAUUUAGUUAAAACCUCAAAAGAGGUGAAUGAAAUUUUCCUCCUUUGCAUCUACAUAUAUUGCUACAAUUUUAAGAGCUUUUAUUAUGAGAUUUUUAUUCUUUAUUCUUCAACAAUAUCAAAAGGUGGUUUGUCGUGGCAGUUGAGUGUGUUUUCUCCUUUUCAACCUUCAGUUUUUUCAUUUAUUUUCAAAUAGGAGUCUCAAGUGCUACACCUACUGAUCCAGCACAUACAAUUGUGUACUAGUUUUUAUUUUUGACUUGCAAAUAAAUUGCAAGCUUGGGGACAACACGAUCUUUAUUACUGUUAUAAUGUCAUAUUGGUGUUGCCAUGACAUCGGUAAAAAGAGGACUUUUCUCAAUAGUACGGUAAUUUUAAAAAAUUAUUCUUAAAUUAUUAUUGUAGAAAAAGUUAUUACAAAUAUAUGGUAAUUUUUACCACUUAGGAGAGAUGGUGAACAGAUAAAUUUUUUUUUUAAAACCAAAAUCGUAUUUUCAAAAGACGAUUUUAUUUCCAUUUUAAAAGGGAAAUCAUCUCUUCAAGAGACGAGUUCCCUUGAGGAUUUUGUUUAUUUAUUUAUUUAUAAUUUGAGAUUUAAAAAAAAUAUAUUAAUUUCAAUAGACGAGUUCCCUUGAGGAUUUUUUUUUUAAUUUGAGAUUUUUUUUAAAAAAAUAUUAAUAUUUUUUCAUGGGAACUCAUCUCUUCAAGAGACGAGUUCCCUUGAGGAUUUUUAUUAUUAUUAUUUUUUUAAUUUGAGAUUUUUUUUUUCAUGGGAACUCGUCUUUAGAAAAGAAGAGUUCCCUUGAGGAAUUUUUAUUAUUUAUAAUUUGGGAAUUUAAAAUUUUUUUUUUCAUGGGAACUCGUCUCUUCAAGAGACGAGUUCCCUUGAGGAUUUUUUUUCUUUUUUUUUUUAAUUUUAUAAUUUGGGAUUUUUUUUAAAAAAAAUAUUAAUUUUUUUUCAUGGGAAUUCAUCUCUUGAAGAGGCGAGUUCCCUUGAGGAUUUUUUUUUUUUUUAAUUUGGGAUUUUUUUUUAAAUAUAUAUAUUUUUUCACGGGAACUCGUCUCUUGAAGAGACGAAUUCCCUUGAGGAUUUUUUUAAAAAAAAAUAUUGAUUUUUUGAAAAAAAAAAUAUUAAGAGACGAGUUCCCUUGAGAAAUUUUUUUUAUUUUUAUAAUUUGGGAAUUUUUUUUAAUAUAUAUAUAUUUUAUGAGAACUCGUUUCUUGAAGAGACGAGUUUCCUUGAGGAAUUUUUUUAUUUAUAAUUUGGGAUUUUUUUUAAAAAAAAUAUUAAUUUUUUUUCAUGGGAAUUCCCUUGAGGAUUUUUUUAUAUUUUUUUUCAUGAGAAAUGUUUUUUGAAGAGACGAUUUCCAUGAGUUUUUUAUUUUAUUUUAUAAUUUAUAAUAAAUAUUAAAAAUAUUAAUUUUCUUUAAUGGAAAUCGUCUCUUCCUUUUGAAUUUUUUUUAUUUUUAAAUGGAAAUAAAAUCAUCUUUUGAAAAGACGAUUUUGAUUAAAAAAAAAAUUAUUCGUUCAUCCUUUUUCCUAAAUAGCAAAAACUAUCAUAUAUUUAUAAUAAUUUAUUUUACUAUAAUAAUUUAAGAAUAACUUUUUUAAAGUAGCGUAGAAAAGUCCGAAAGCUGGAAAAACUUUAUGAUCGUGGAAGUUGUGUCAAGGCCAACACUUUGAAUGCAGCGACUUUGACUGCUGCGUUAUCAAUACGCUAGAAAACUGCAGAUGAACUGUACACACACGCUCCCUUUAGUGGACUGAGAGUGUCGGACCCACUUGAAGGCUAAGAAGUCUAAGUAGAGGAAAUAAAUUAAGGAACUUCUAGCUCCUUUUCGUAUUUGCCCCAACUCACAAACCAUUAGGCUUUUCUCACCUUUUGCUGGCUCCAAUGGCGAAUAUGCCACUGCUAUUGUCUCUUUGCCUUAUCUAUACUAUCUCCUUCUUUCCAUUCCUUGCAUUUGCCAUAUCCUCUUGCAAUGGUCCUUGCCGAACAUUUAACGACUGCGACGGUGAGCUCAUAUGCAUCAAUGGUAAGUGUAACGACGACCCUGAACUUGGGACUCACGUAUGUGAAGGGGUUCCUUCCCCUCCACCUCCCUCCGGCUACUGUCAUUCCUCUGGGUCCCUUCGGUGCAAGGGCCAAUAUUAUCCUACCUACACCUGCUCCCCUCAGAUCACAUCCUCCACAAGUGCCAUUCUUACUAACAAUGAUUUUAGUGAGGGUGGGGAUGGCGGAGGGCCAUCGGAAUGUGAUGGAAAAUACCAUAACAAUUCUGACCCCAUCGUGGCAUUGUCGACUGGGUGGUACAAUGGUGGAUUCCGGUGUGGGAAGAUGAUCAAGAUAACGGCUGACAACGGGAGGAGUGUGCUGGCCAAGGUGGUGGAUGAGUGUGACUCACUGCGGGGCUGUGACGAAGAGCAUUCAGAUCAGCCACCAUGUAAGAACAACAUCGUUAACGGAUCUGAUGCUGUGUGGAGUGCUCUGGGGCUGGAUACGAACUUAGGUGAAGUGGAUGUUACUUGGAGCGAAGUAACUGAUGUUCCAUGUGAUUCAAACAAUUAUAUAGUUCAUAUUAUGUAAUUAUUAAAUUACUUAGUUCUACAAAUUAUAUAUCAUGAAACCUUAUUCUACAAAUUGCAAUGAACUAAAAUAUUUUUCAUAUACCAAUCGAGGAUUUGAGACAUUUUUCAACAAUAAUAUGCAAGAAAUAAAACUUCGCACUAGUAAAACUGCAUGGUGAUCAAACCCCAAUAACUGGCUUGAUUAAAGAGUAACGUGUCCUUCCAGGAUUUUCCGACGACCAUACUAAACCAGAGGGACCCGAAGACUGAGAAUUUUCUGAGUCAUCCAUCCUAGGUUCCCACUAGAGUCAUUAAGAGAUGCUGUGCUGACUGGUCCUCGAGUGGGAUCAACUUUUCUCCACCGCCUUAGGAUUUCCAAAAUCACAGCCAUAACGACUAUACUCUUAAGGAGACUCAAUUUUUUUAGUCAUUGUCCUAUACUAUGAUUAAGAAGGUGUUAAUUGGAGAAUGGAUUUAAUGACUUAAUAUAAAUUAAUAAUUUAAUUUAAAUCAUCAAAUAGAUUAAAUUUAUUUGAUAAAACAAUUUAAUAUUAUAAUUUGAAAUUAAAAAUAAUUUUAAGUAUUAAUUCAAAAUAGUUAAUUUAUUUUGUCUCAUUUAUCGAUAUUUAAUGAGAGCAUAUUUUACAACCGUAAUUCCACGUUUAUGACUCAUUUUUAUAAUAAAUGUUUUAUAAUUAUCCCAUGUAUUUACAAUACUCUAAAUAUAAAUGUUUUACAAACAAGUUUUUAUUUAAGAUUGAUAAAAAAAAUUAUUAAUUAAAAUUAAUGAUAAUAAAUAUUACUUAAAACCAAUGAAGGUAACUAUGUCAAUUUAUUGAUUUAAAAUAAAUUUUAAAUUAACUUUAUCAAACAACUUUAAUUACUUAAAGUAAAAGUCAAAUAAUAAAGUUUAAAUCUAAUUUAAAGUCCACUUAAAUGUAAUAAGUAUUAAAUUUUACUAAUCAUCUUCUAAGUCCUGGCAUGAAACAUGUUUGAUGGCUCAUAAAUUGGGAUGGACAAGUCUUUGGUUUUAGUUAUAUGGGAGUUUAUUAUAACUAAUCUUGUUAUUAACCCAAAUCAAGUCAAUUCAAUUUAUUUUAUUUGAUCCAAAAAUGGGCUACUACAUUUCUUUUUUUUUUUUUUCAGAAAAAUGAUGACUAAAUUAUGCUUUUCACAUUAAAUAAUUGUAGAUUCAAUUCCUUUAGAUUUUGUGGGGUUUAUCAGUUUUGUCAGUUUUUGGGCUUGCCUCUACUCUGAAGUUGGGGAUGACUAAUGAAUGACUCGGUCAACUGGAACUCUGGAUGUUGCUUGGUCGUGGAUUAUGGUCAUAAGUUAGGCUGAGUUUCUGUGGCUGUCCUGAAUAUGGCGUCAUGUACUCAGGUUAUAUGGCUAUCUACCAGCUGUAUUAACACAUCAAUAUGGAGAAAAUAAACAGGGCAGACGCUGUAUUGCAAUGACUAGCUUGACUAGCCACGAGAGUAACUCUGACCUAGCUAAAUCAUCGGCAACAUUGUUGUUAGCCUCCACAGAUUAAUUAGACUAGAAAACUCAAACUCAUGACAUUCAACUGCAUUCGGUAAUGAGAUUGCUAACUACACAUGCUGUGUGGCCCUAUGUUUCAUUUAUGACCUUGUCCCCAGCCUUCCUUAGCUAGAAAUUCUUUCGUGUGUUCCCCUAUGUAACCCAAUUCUUUAUAUAAUGAUAUGCACACAUAACCAUACUGUCUAUAGAGAUUUUUGUGUGUACUGUCUCAGUUUCUCAGAUAUUGAGGGAGUUGUCAUGUAACAUACUGUUAUAAGAUUAGGAACGCUUCUACUCUCUGUCUAUUUGUGGAAGCAAUUAGUCUAAUGAGAUAGCACUCUGGCAUGUAAAUUUCAUUGCAUUUGCUUGAGUGAUCAUUUUCAACCACCAGAAGGCUCACUGACCCUAACGAUACGGCAACCGGAAGAAGAAAUGUCAUGGCAAACUUCAUGACUUGAAGACUCGGUAGACUUUCAUGAAGUCCAGAGAGGCAUUAAAGCGUGAUUAAUUUGAGUAUAUAUUUAAAUGUAUGCAAGAGCUCUCCCUCACCCAAACUCCUAAAACCAUUAGGCCUUUCUCCCUUGGGUACUUCUCCAAUGGCAAAUCAAGUUCUAUUCCUGCAAUCCCUUUACCUUCUCUUCAGUAUCUUCUCCCUUCCAUUUCUUCCACUGGUUAUGUCCUCUUGUAAUGAUCCAUGUCAAACACUUGACGACUGUGAAGGUCAGCUCAUAUGCAUCAACGGUCAGUGCAACGACGAUCCCGAUCUUGGGACUCACAUAUGCGGAGGAAGUCCAGGGACUUCUUCCCCUUCAACUGAUGACUGUCAGCCCUCUGGCAGUCUUGAGUGUAACGGGCAAUCCUAUCCUACCUACACAUGCUCCCCUCAGGUUACAUCCUCCACCAGCGCUGUUCUUACUAAGAACGAUUUUAGUGAGGGAGGGGAUGGUGGAGGCCCAUCCAAGUGUGAUGACAAAUACCAUGAAAAUUCAGACCCUAUCAUUGCCUUGUCAACUGGUUGGUAUAAUGGUGGAUCCCUGUGCGGCAAGAUGAUCAGGAUCACGGCUCAAAAUGGGAUGAGCGUGCUGGCCAAGGUGGUGGAUGAGUGUGACUCCAUGCACGGCUGUGACCAAGAGCAUGCAGGUCAGCGCCCCUGUGAUAACAACAUAGUUGAUGGAUCUAAUGCUGUGUGGGAUGCUUUGGGCCUGGAUAUCAAUAUUGGUCGUGUGGACGUUACUUGGUCCAUGGCUUAGAUAUAUGGUUAUGACUUAUGAUCAGUUGGUUGGUUACUUGGUUUUUGUGUGUGCGUACGUACUUUCCUCUUUGUGUUCCCUCUCUCCUUUGAUUUGUAUGGCUCCGCCAAGCACUAUUUGUAUGUAAUUUUGCAGCAAUAUAUGCAUGCGCUGAAAUAAAACUGGAAGGCACUAGCCCAGUGCCACCAGAACCCCAUUAACUGGGGUUUGAUUAAUAAUGAGUGAUUUGCAUCACGAUCUAGUUGAACCAUCACAUUGAUUAUUAAUGCAUCGCCUAAACUACAUCAACUUCCAAUGAGUAUUUUGUAUUAAUUUAGCAUUGAGAUUCACCUUAUAUAUAGCAAUGCUGAUCUUGGGAAAAUACAUAUUUUAAAUUUAAAAAGUUGUAAAAUCAAAAGAAACUUACAAAGUCAAAAGAAAGAAAAGAAAAGAAAAGAAUAUAGAAGGUGUUGUCUAAUGGGUGGUACUUGAUCACUUUGAUGAGGUCACAGUGAGGAAAUUAACAAGAAGCCAGGAAAGAGAAGCUGUAGAAAAAUUGUCACAUACCAAUAACAAAUAUCAUCCUGGCACCCAAAUAUAAAAGGCCCCAUUGAGUUAUUGACGGGUACAUGUGUCACUUUUUCACCACAAUAUAUAUAUAUAUAUAUAUAUAUAUAUAUAUAUAUAUAUAUAUAUAUAUAUAUAUAUAUAAAAUUAAGAAUUCUUAGUCUUGAUCAGUGGUCAUAUGAAGUUUUUCUAUUAUAAUCUAUCAUAAUACAAAUCUAACUAGUAAAAGCCUAAAUGUCUUAUACCUAAACUAUUUAUUUAUUAAGUAAUUCAUAAUGAAACAAAAUAAUAAAAAUUAGAAUACGAAUCAUUGAGAUAUGGAACCUAAAUUGAUUUUGUUAGAGCAUGCAUUUUGAUUAAUUAAAUUUUAUUCCUUUGUUGAGCUUAAAGUCUAAACCCAAAGUUGGGUUGUGGAACAUUCAAGUUGAUUUUGUUAAACCAUGCCCUAAAACUAAUUAAAUUCUAUACCUUUGUUUUGCUUAAAGGUCUAUGUUCAAAGUUGGGUUGUAGAAACCUCAAUCUUAAUUAGUUGAAUUAAAAAUAAGUAAUUAUUUUAUAAUUUAAAUACAUUUAUUUUUUAAAAAAUCUUUAUUUAUAUUUAUUCUUAUUUAUUUAAAUUAGAUUUUAUUAUCUUUACUCUUUAGUAAAUAAUUAAUCUUUUUAAUCUAAAAAUAAUUAAACACAAGUUAAUCCUAGAAGAUGAUAAUCCAAAAUAAUACAAAGUCAUGAUAACCUUAUAUCCCUACUAUAUUUUUUUAGUCAUAGUCUAUUUGAAUAACUCAAUAAAGCAACGAGUACCUAUUAGUUGUAAGUUCAAAUUCUUGAUUUGAAUUAAUUUUUUUUUUUAUCUUAAAUUUCUUGUGUUUAUCAUAAUAUAACUAGCAAAAAAUGUUUGCAAAUACAUUUACAAAUUCUAUAGAACGAAAAUAAUAUAUCUUAUUUUCCCAUUUAUUUUUCUCUUUAUAGAUUCUAUAUAUAUUUAAAAUCAAAUAUUAUUUUUAAUUUAAAGUUAUAUCGGAUACAUAUUUUUAUAUUAGAUUAAUUCCUUUCAUUAUAUUGAUUAUAAAUAUAUUUAAACUUUUUUUACACUAUUUUAAAAUUAAAAUUACAAUAAAGAAAUGAAAAUAUAUGAAUAAAUGCACUUUUAUUAUUUUUAUUUGAUUAAAAAAUAGACACCAAAUGAAUCAAAUUUUAUCAAUGUUUAUUUUUCAAAACUUAUUUAAAAAAAAUCGAGUAUAAUAAAAUUAUUUUAUUUUUUAAAAAGAAAAGUAAAUUUUAAAAAAUACAUAAACCACACCUAAUUACUAAUGCUACGAUCAAAAGCAAUUACUUGGAAAAGCUGUACACAAUUGAAUAUCGAGAAGGUUACAAAGUCCUAAUUAGAGAAACAAUGAUUUUCAUUAAUUAUGUUUGGUUCCCGGAAAAUAUUAAGGAAAGAAAAAAAAUGCAAAGGAAAAUGACUUUUUCAUGUUUGGUUGUCCUAUGAAAAAUAUCAAAGAAAAUCAAAUAUAAUUAAAACUAAUUAGAAACUUAUGUUUUUUUAAAUUAUUUAAUUUUUAUAUUGAUGAGUUAAAAUAAAUAAAAUAAGUUUGAAGUAACAAAAAAAAUAAUUUAUUAAUUUCAAUUUAUUCUUUUAUUUUCCUUCACUUUUUCUUUUCUUCUACUUUUCAUUUAUAUUUUCUUUCCCUUGCAUUUUCCUUCAAAUUUUUUGAGAACCAAACAUAACCUAAAGGAAAAAACAAUAUUUUUCAAAUUAUUUCUCGGGUGACAGAUACGCAAGCAAAACAUUGAUAUUCCAUAAUAAUAAAAACUAUUUAUUUAUAAUGUUUCUUUUUCACGUUAUUUUUCGGAGUAACUAUAAAUUAAAUAUUUUUACGUGUCCAUGGUGCAUAUUCGUGGGACUCAUUAGUCACAACGAAGGCGUAGUCCUGUGGAUGAGAGGAAAGCAAAAGUAGGAGGUGACCAUCCUCACUUUGUAAUUCAGAAAUAAAUCUAUUAAAUGUCUCACAUCAAAUUAUCACACGCCACGUAAGAAUAGGAUAAGAAAGAACCCAAAAUAUAAUGACACGUGGUUUUCAAAUUUUGCGACGGGUCGAGUGUGGGGGAAUAUCGUCAUAAAAGCGAGGCCACAGCCAGAGAGAAGGCCCACCGGCCUACCGGCACCGAAAUUACGUUGUGGACCGAAAGACUUGAAGUGCAGCCAUCUAGGGGGACGCAUUCAUUGCAAAGGAAACUCUAAAAAAGAAAGAAAAACGUGUGGCUGCUUAAUUUCUUGAUAAGGUGGAGCCGCAUGAGGGCAUGAGUUCAGUAUAUAAGUGGAUGCAAGCUUCAUCCCUUGACCAUUAGGCCUCUUUGGGUUACUGAAUACUAAGAGCAGCUCCAAAUUGCAAUGGCGAAUUCAGCAGUAGUGUGGUUAGCAUCCGUAUGGCUUGUGUCCAAUAUCUUGUCCCUUCCAUUCCUGGCAUUGGGCAUAUCUUCUUGUGGUGGCUCAUGUCAAACACUUGAUGACUGUGACGGUCAGCUCAUAUGCAUCAACGGUAAAUGUAAAGACGACCCCGAAGUCGGGACUCACAUAUGCGGGGGAAGUUCAAGUACCCCUUCCCCUCCGGUCUCCUCCUCCACGCCUGCCAUUCUAACUAACAACAAUUUUGAAAAAUGAGGGGACGGUGGAGGCCCAUCGGAGUGCGACGGCAAAUACCAUGACAAUUCAGAGCGCAUCGUAGCAUUGCCAACUCGGUGGUAUGAUGGGGGAUCCCGGUGUGGGAAGAUGAUUAGGAUAACGGCUCCAAGUGGGAGGAGCGUGUUGGCCAAAGUGGUGGAUGAGUGUGAUUCAGCGGACGGCUGUGCGAAUAACAUAGUUGAUGGAUCUGAUGGUGUGUGGGCUGCUCUGGGGCUGGAUAUCAAUCUUGGUGAAGUGCACGUUACUUGGUCCAUGGCUUAGAUAUCCGUAUGGUUAAUGAGUUGGGUUGGUUUUUUGUGUUCCCCUCUACUUUGGUUAUGAUGUAAUUUUGCAGCAAUAUGCACUGAAAUAAAAUAGCUGGAAGGCGCUAGCCCAGUGCCACCAGAACCCCAUUGACUGGUUUGAUUAAUAAAGAGUGAUUAUCGGCAGAAUGAACUACUUCAAGUCUUCAACCAUCACAUCGAUUAAUUAAUAAAGAAUCCCAUCAACUGUUGUUAUCCUCCUUAUACACAUUGAUUAAUUAGGCUUUAUAAACACCUACGAAACUUAAAGAUUGUUUUCCCUGAUGAUCAGUACUUCACAGUUACUUUGUUCACCACAACAUACAUCGUCUGAACAUUGGGCAGCAGCCGAUUAUUGUCUCUGUACCAUUAAUUAUCGAUCCUAAUCAACUCAUUUUUAUCCAAUCGUACUGGGCAGUACUUACAAGACAAGUCUUUAUUAUUAUUUUUUCAACAUUACAGCUAUCAAGAAAUCAUUUAAGCUUAUUAUUUUAAUUUGUUGAACAAGUUAACUUCAUUGCAUAGUUAUUAAACCACCUAUUAAUAAAUAAUUUUUAUUUUUAAUAAAUUAAUAUAUAAAAUUAAAUAAACCCAAUCCAGUUAUUAAAAUAUCGUUGAGCUAAAAAAAUGAGCUUAUUUCUCAAAUAAGCUGGAGGGGCUCGAACCCUCACAAAAUAUUUAAGGAGUGUCCAAUAUACCACUAAAUUAAUUAUAAUUAUUUUAUAAUUAAAUAAAAAAAUUUCAUUUAGUAGAUUAAAAAAAAUAUAAAAAUUAUCAAGAUAAUUUUCUUUAUAGUGUUUUUAAUAUUAAAAAAUUAUACAUUUAUCAUCAUUUACUUUAUAUCAUUUAAUACAGUUGAAUUAAAUGUAUCAUAAUUUUAAUAUUAAAUAUAUUUAAAAAUUAGACAUAUUACAAUCAAAUAUCACAAUAUUAUUAUCGAAUAAUAUUUUAUGUAAUUUAAUAAUCAAUGUACACUUUUAUUUAUGUAAUUUAAUAAUCAAUGUACACUUUUAUAUAUAUAUAUAUAUAUAUAUAUAUAUCAAUUUCUUCAACAAAACAAUUUUAAAAAGUCUAUUAUACUUCUAAUUUCAGUUUUAAGAGUUUUUUUUUAUAUAUUUUCAUAAAUUUUGAUCAAAUUUAAAUUAAUCGAUAUUUUUUAUCAAAAUAUCUGUCUAUAUAUCCAUAAAAUCAAAAUAUCGAUAUAUUCGUGAUUACUGAUAAUUUUAUCCUUGACCCAAUCAUUAGUAAAAAUAAAUAUUACACCCAAUAAAUUAUUUAUAUAUAAUAUUAUAAUCUAAACUAAAUUAUGUAUAAAUAAAUUUGUUCAAAGAAAGUACAUGUCAAACAAAUUUUCAUUUAAUUCCUAGUAAUUUGUUUUAAACAUAUUAAAGUAGUUGAAAUACAAAUGUUCAAUCAAAGUUUUAUUUAAUUUUUAAUCUAUCAAAUGAGAAUAUCAUCAAACUUCCUAUAAGAAAACAUUGCUUUCCACAUAAAAGAAUCAACUCCAAAUUAAAUUUGCACUAUCACCAAUAUCUGCUUCAAAAAUUACACAAAAACCUAAAGUUUAGUAGUACAAAUUAAGUUUUCAAUAUCAUAUACUAUUUUUGAAGAAUUCUCUUGUCACUAUAAACAAAUACUUGUCUUUAUGAUAAAAUUAAUUUGAGUAAGGAUCUAAGGUAUAACUUACUUGCCCUAAGAAAAUUUUAACUUCAACCAUUUCAAAUAUAAGAUCGCGUUAUACCUCAAAUAAUAGAGUAUAAUAGUAUUAAGAAUUCAAUAAACUACUACUACUUCUUCUUCUUCUUCUUCUUUAUUUUAAGCAAAAUAAUAUAUAUUUCAUCAUAAACCAUACUAUUUUAACUUCAACCAUUUCAAAUAUAAGAUAGAGUUAUACCUUAAAUAAUAGAGUAUAAUAGUAUUAAGAAUUCAAUAAACUACUACUUCUUCUUCUUUAUUUUAAGCAAAAUAAUAUAUAUUUCAUCAUAAACCAUACUAUUUUAACUUCAACCAUUUCAAAUAUAAGAUAGAGUUAUACCUUAAAUAAUAGAGUAUAAUAGUAUUAAGAAUUCAAUAAACUACUACUUCUUCUUCUUUAUUUUAAGCAAAAUAAUAUAUAUUUCAUCAUAAGCCAUACUAUUUUAACUUCAACCAUUUCAAAUAUAAGAUAGAGUUAUACCUCAAAUAAUAAAGUAUAAUAGUAUUAAGAAUUCAAUAGACUACUUCUUCUUCUUCUUCUUCUUCUUCUUCUUCUUCUUCUUCUUCUUCUUUAUUUAAGCAAAAUCAUAUAUUAUUCAUCAUAAACCAUACUAUUUAUCAUUAUCCUAAUAAUACUAAACUCAAGGUUACGUAUAAUAAAAUGAAAUAUCUAAAAGUAUUUUUUUGAAUUCUAUAUAUGUUAAAAACUAGUAUUAAAUUAAGAAAAAUAAAAUAAAGAAAAAGAGUAUUAAUGCAUGUUUACAGCUAAAUAAUGCAAAGAUUGAGUGUCAUUUUGAUAAAAAGGCCACGAAGUACGUGAUACAUAGGAUUUGGUUAUCUCAAUGUAUUAAAACCAAUGCUAAAACCUGCUUGAAGAAAAAAAACUAGAAUACUCAUACCCUAAUUAAGUACCACAAUAAAUUAAUAUCAUAAAACAUUAUAAUAAAUUUACCUUUGAUUAGAAUUUGUAUUCAUCUCAAGUAACCAAACAAAUUACCUCUAAAUUAUUUUAAAAUUUUGCAUAGUUUAGUUCACAUCAUUGAAAAUAAAAAGGUUUUUCAAAUGUCAUGAUCACUAUAUAUUUUCUAUCAAUGCAUAAUUUCAAUAAUUAUGUAAUCUUGCUUUUACAUUGAUACAUGGAAGCCACUCGCUUCUUAUUUCACAACUCGUCAUUUGAACACUUAACCAAUAAAUGUUUUUUUUUUUUCCGUUUUUUCUUAAUUUUAAAUUUUUUAUUUAUCUUUUCAUUUAAAUAUAGAAAGAUCUUUAUUACAAAUGUAUUUAAAAUAAAAAAUAUUUAGAGCUAUUAAAAAUCUAUUUAAAUUGAAUUUAUUUAUAUCUAAAAGAUUUUUAUUCUUUUUAAGUUUUUAAAAUGUACUAUAAACUAGUGUAUCUGUUAGCCAACGAUUCUCCAGAUCGUGUUUUGAUGAUAAAAAAGCAUAGUUAAGUUGUUAAUUUUUUUUGAAUUAUAAAGAAUUUCAAGUGUUAGUUUGAAAAUCCAUUAAAGAACCCAAUGGAUGUAAGAUAAAGACAAUUGGAAAAUUUUACUCAUAGAAAACAUAUAUAAGAUGAAUGCAUGGAUGCAUUUAGGUUUUUCAUAUCUUUUCAUGCAUCUUUAAAAACUCAGUUUAUGCUUUAAAGUUACAUUUACAUCAAAACUUAAGUUUUAUUAAAUGAACUUUAGGCAAAUCAUUUCAAAAUUGGCAUAAUAAUUUACCUAAAAACCUUACCUAAGUGUUAGAAGAAAAAAAAACAUAAAAAAAAAAAGUUUUUGGGCCAAAAAUUGUAAACCAGUCGAGGCACUGGCCAACUAGCUCAAUUGACUAGGGUGCCGAUCAACCGAUUACACCUUCUCGAUCGAGGUCCGAUUGAGAGAUGCAAAAAAUCUUCUCUCUCUUCCAAUAGCCUUGCAUUCUUGAUCGAGGAAUAUGUCUUCCCGAUCGAGGCCUAACGGUCACCUAACAAGCAUUUAUUGCCCAAUAGUUAGUUAACCAGUCGACCUCCAGCUCGACCAAUCAAGGUUAUUUUUUUUUUUGGUCUUUUUGGCUCUCAAGGCUAUAAACUUAUAAAUUGAGAACUCGACUUCAUUUAUGAGUAAGAGAACACCUACAUUUAUUUGUCUACCUACUUGUUCUUGCCUCAAAAACUUUAAUUCUUUCAUUAGUUCAUUAAAUUUUCAUUUGCAUAUUCCUUAAUGCACCCUUAUGAUUCAUCCUAGCAUUUGAGUUGUAUUUAAGCCCUUGUUGAGCUAGGUUGAAAGAUUUGAUUUUGUUAUUCGAUUGUUAGAACCUUUAAGUGAGUAAAGACUUGAAAAUAUUGUAUAAGAGCUCAUUUGAGCUAAAAUCCAAGUGUAAAUGUGUCAGAAGCUUGGUUGAAACUUCAAAUAUAGUAGAACCCUCACUCGGUUAGGAGCUUGAGAAGAGUGGACGUAGGCAAGGGGUGUCGAAUCACUAUAAAAUCUGAAUUUGCUUCUUCGAACCUUAUCUCUUAUGUAUGUGCUUCCUUUACUUGAAUUUGUUGUGGUUGAAAACAAAAAUUAAAACCCAAUUCACCCACCCCUCUCUCUAUCUCUCUCUCUCUCUCUUUACCUCUUGGGUGUUUUCUCUAUUAAGAUUAGUCUUUAUUUUCUCAGUAUCUAAGAACAUAAAUAUGUGUUUUCACUCUUAAUAGCCCAAAAUAGAUUCUUUUUAAUCCAAUUAAUUCAUUUGAGAAUAUAUGGAAGAAUAAAAACCAAUCAAGACACAAGACAAAAGAUUAUUUACAUGGAUUUCCAUACAACAUGUGGAAAUAAAAAAACUAAAAAAAAUACCAUAGAGUCAAAGACCUCAAAUUUAUAAUCCACUUAUGAGAGUACAACAAAGUUUUACCUAACAGACAUUAUCCCUAAGACUUACUCUUCAAUACUCAUACUGCAUUUUACAUCCGCGAUACAACACCUUGUGUGCUCCCAAUGGAUCUCACCUUAGUAUUUGAAGGGAUGUAGAUCUCUUUCACAAUCUAACAAAAGCAAACAUGAACACUUCUUUGAGAGUUUUGGAAAGAAUAAGACAAAUUAGAUUUUCUAAUUCAGAAGCACUAAGCCAAAAACCUUUUUAAGCAAGGCAUAUGUAGGCCUAGAGACCUAGUGGAUCGAUACUUAGAAAAUCCUUGAUUUAAAUCCAUUAAAAAAUGGAAAGAGUGAACUCCAAAAUUUUGGAGGAUUCUAUCUCAUGUGCUUAUGCGCCCUUAUAGCCCUUGAGUGCUCUUCAAGCAUUGAAUUUAGUGCUCUUUCUCUUUUCUUUUUGGGAGAAUUAUGUUUUAGAGGUAGAUAAGCCCCCAAAUUAACAAAAUGUUCAUAUAACUCUUCAAAUUGAGUUGAAGGAUAUGAAAUAGUAACGGACAAAUAUACCCUUUAAGAACACAUAAAAUAUUUUAUAAAAUUAAGUUAAAUAAAAAAAUUUUAAUAAUUUUUUUUUCAAAAAUACUAAAUUAAAUAAAAGUGGUUUUCAAAAAUAUUAAAUUAAAUUUUUUUUUCAAAAAUAUUAAAUUAAAUAAUUUUUUUAAAUAUUAAAUUAAAUAAAAGUAUUUUUAAAAAAUAUUAAAUUACAUAAAAGUAUUUUUAAAAAAUAUUAAAUUAAAUCAAAAAUAUUUUUAAAAAAUAUUAAAUUAAAUAAAAGUAUUUUAAAAAAUAUUAAAUUACAUAAAAGUAUUUUUUAAAAAUAUUAAAUUAAAUCAAAAAUAUUUUUUAAAAAUAUUAAAUUAAAUAAAAGUAUUUUUCAAAAAUAUUAAUUUUUUUCUCAAAAUCAACAAAGGACAUUUUUGGAAAUACUGAAGGAUAAUAUCCUUCAACUCAAUUUUCAUACUUUCAUUGAGUCUUGGGAUCAAUUUGAAGAGUUACACGGACCUUUUGUUAAUUUGGGGGCCCAUCUACCCCUAAAACAUAAUUCUCCCUUUCUUUUUUUCUUCUCUCUCUCUAUAUAUAUAUAUAUAUAAUAAAAGGUUAAUUAAUUUUAUUAUAUUUUACAAAUAGAUUUAUACUUUUUCUUGCAUUAUUUUAAAAUAAAAUUAGAGUAAAGAAAAUGAAAAAUAUAUGAACAAAUUUAAUUUUAGUAUUUUUAUUUUUAAAAACGAAUUUUCAUUUUGCUCAACCCAAAGCUGUUUGGAAGUGAUCAUUUUCAAAAGUAUGGGAAACCAAAGGCAGCUAGAGAUUUAGUUAUAGUGUGUAGCAUGUGCAAAGACUUUGAACUCAAACCACCAAGGUGUACAACCUCUCUCUCCCUUAAUUGCAUUCGUUCACGAUCCCUUUAGAUACUUCUUCCCUUUUGGGUCAUGUAAAGUAGUGGCAAGACAAAUCCGAAUUGAUUCCUUACUAUAUAUAUAUACUUCUUCCCUAAUAUCUCGUGAUCACGAUCCCCUUUAGAUACUUCUUCCCUUUGUGGCAAGAAAAAUCCGAAUUGAUUUCUUACCAUAUAUAUAUACAUAUGAUAUGAUGUUCCAUAAUACGGUCAAAUAUAUUUACUUUUAAAGUUUCUUUCUCCACAUUAUUUUUCUUAUAUAGUAGAUUUAAAAUAUUCUUUAUCUACCCAUUUGCCGAUGCAUGUUUGUAAUUGUGGGAGUCAUUAGCAUUAAUUAUUGAAGGCAUGUGUCUAACCUAAAAAGAAGUUAGCAUUAUCGAAGGCCUAGUCUUAUGGAUGUGACUAAAGGAAGGAGAGGCCAUCAUACUCAUCCUAGUGCCAAUUAACUCAAAAUGACUGAGGAUAAUUCUUUGAUGGGGUAAUUUUUGAACAAGAUGAUAUUAUAUGAUAAGAAAAAGGUCUAUGUGAUAUUUGAAUAUAAUUUGAUAUUUACUUUGCUUAAAAAAAAAACUUUAAAAUAUUAAAAUGAGAGUCCAUAAAAAUUGAAGAAUGAUUUUUAUAAUUUAAAAAUAAAUAUAGUAAAUGCGUCACAUCAAAUUAUGGCACGCCACCUAAGAAUAGGAUAAGGAACCUAAAGUACAAAGAUCCGUCAUUUUCAAAUUGUGUGGCGGGUUGAGUGUGGGGAAUAUCAUCCUAAGAGUGAGACUUUUCUCAAUAGUACAGUAAUUUUAAAAAGUUAUGCUUAAAUUAUUAUAGUAGAAGAAGUUAUUAUAAAUAUAUGGUAGUUUUUGCCACCUAAGAGAGAGGAGAGAGAGUGAACCGAUAAAUUUUUUUUAAAACCAAAAUUGUCUUUUCAAAAGACGAUUUUAAAAAAAUUUCAAAAGGUAAAUCGUCUCUUCAAGAGAUGAGUUCCAUGGAAAAAAAUAUAUAUUUUUUUAAAAAAAAAUUCCUUAAGGGAACUCGUCUCUUCAAUAAACGAGUUCCACAAAAAAUAUAUAUAUAAAUUCCCAAAAAAAAAAAACACAAUUCCUCAAUGGAGCUCGUCUCUUCAAGAGAUGAGUUCCAUGAAUAUAUAUUUUUAAAAAAAUUCUCAAAUUAUAAAAAAAAAAAAAAAAAAAAGGAAAAUUCCUCAAGGGAACUCGUCUCUUCAAGAGACGAGUUCCCAUGAAAUUUUUUUUUUUUAAAAAAAAAUAUAUUCCCAAAUUAAAAAAAAAAAAAAUAUUCCUCAAGGGAACUCGCCUUUUUUUUUUUUUUUUUUUUUUUUUAUAAUUUGGGAAUUUUUUUAAAAUAUAUAUAUAUAUAUAUAUUCAUGGAACUCGUCUCUUGAAGAGACGAGUUCCCUUGAGGAAUUUUCUUUUUUAUUUUUUUUUUAUUUCGGGAAUUUUUUUCGUUCCCUUGAGGAAUUGUUUUUUUUUUUUUUAAUAAUUUGGGAAUUUUUUAAUAUAUAUAUAUAUAUAUAUUUUCAUGGAACUCGUCUCUUGAAGAGACAAGUUCCCUUGAGGAAUUUUCUUUUUUUUCUUUUUAUUUUUUUAAUUUGGGAAUUUUUUUUCCAUGGGAACUCGUCUCUUGAAGAGACAAGUUCUCUUGAGGAAUUGUUUUUUUUUUAUAUAUAUAAUUUGGGAAUUUUUUUAUAUAUAUAUUUUCAUAGAACUCGUCUCUUGAAGAGAGGAUUUCCCUUUUGAAAUUUUUUUUAAAUCAUCUUUUGAAAUUUUUUUUAAAUCAUCUUUUGAAAAAACUAUUUGAAAUUUGAAAUGAUGAUUUUGGUUUUAAAAAAAAAUUAUCUACUCACCCUCUCUCCUCUCUCCUAAGUGGUAAAAACUACCGUAUAUUUGUAAUAACUUCUUCUACUAUAAUAAUUUAAGCAUAACUUUUUUAAAUUACCGUAUGAGAAAAGUCUCCUAAGAGUGAAGCCGCGAGCUGAGAGAAGUCCCACUGGCACUAAAAUUAGAGAAGGCUUCAGUUACGUCAUGAACCGAAAGAUUGAAGUGAAGCCAUCUAGAGGAGCCUUGCAAAAAAAAAUAUAUAUGGUGGAGCCGCAUUAGGGCAUGGGGUGAGUACAUAAGUGGAUGCAAGCUUCAUCCGUUGUCCAUUAAGCCUCUUUGGGUUACUGAAUACUGAGAGUAGCUCCAAAUUGCAAUGGCAAAUUCACCUGUAGUGUGGUUAGCAUCGGUGUGCCUUGUGUUCAAUAUCUUGUCCCUUCCAUUCCUAGCAUUGGGCUUAUCUUCUUGUGGUGGCUCAUGUCAAACACUUAAUGACUGUGAAGGUCAGCUCAUUUGCAUCAAUGGUAAAUGUAACGACGAUCCCGAGGUCGGGACUCACAUAUGUGGAGGAAACUCGAGUACCCCUUCCCCUCCAUCCCCCAGUACCUGCCAGCCCUCGGGAACUCUUGCGUGCAAGGGCGGAAAACCCAAAAAUACCUACACAUGCUCUCCUCCGGUCACCUCCUCCACGCCUGCCGUUCUAACUAACAAUAAUUUUGAAAAAGGAGGAGACGGUGGAGGCCCAUCCGCUUGCGACAACAAAUACCAUGACAAUUCAGAGCGCAUCGUAGCAUUGUCAACUGGGUGGUAUAAUGGGGGAUCCCGGUGUGGAAAGAUGAUCAGGAUAACGGCUCAAAAUGGGAGGAGCGUGUUGGCCAAAGUGGUGGAUGAGUGUGACUCCAUGCACGGCUGUGACAAAGAGCAUGCAGGUCAGCCCCCCUGUGAUAAUAACAUAGUUGAUGGAUCUAAUGCUGUGUGGAAUGCUUUGGGGCUGGAUAUCAAUAUUGGUGAAGUGGACGUUACUUGGUCCAUGGCUUAGGUAUAUGGUUGGUUGGUUACUCGGUUUUUGUGUGUACGUACGUACCCUCCUCUUUGUGUUCCCCUCUCUAUUUUGGUUUGUAUGGCUCCGCCAAGCACUAUUUUUAUGUAAUUUUGCAGCAAUAUAUGCAUGCACUGAAAUAAAACUGGAAGGCACUAGCCCAGUGCCACCAGAACCCCAUUAAGUGGUUUGAUUAAUGAAGAGUGAUUUGCGUCACGAUCUACUUGAACCAUCACAUUGAUUAUUAAUGCAACGCCUAAACUACAUCAACUUCCAAUGAGUAUUUUAUAUUAAUUUGACAUUGAGAUUCACCUUAUAUAUAGCAAUACUGAUCUUGGGAAAAUACAUAUUUUAAAAUUAAAAAGUUGUAAAAUCGAAAGAAACUUAAAAAGUAAAAAGAAAGAAAAGAAAAGAACAUAGAAGGUCUUAUCUAAUGGGUGGUACUAGAUCACUUUGAUGAGGUCGCAGUGAAGAAAUUAACAAGAUCCCCAGGAAAGAGAUGCUGUGCAAUAAGAAAUAUCAUCCUGGAACCCAAAUAUAAAAAGCCCCAUGGAGUUAUUGACGGGUACAUCAGUCAUAUAUAUACAUAUAUAAUACUUUGUCUUGAUCUAUACUUUUCAACAGUUUUUCUAUUAUUGUCUAUCCUAAUACAAGAUAAUUUAACUGAUAAAAGCCUAAGUGCCUUAUACCUAAACCAGAUUUCAUAUCUAUUUAUCUAUUAAAUAAUUUAAAAUAAAAUAAAAUAAUUAAAGUUAGAACACAAAUUAACUCUGAGAUAUGGAACUUAAAUGUUGAUUUUGUCACUUACUAGUCCAUAUUCAAAGUUGGGUUGUAGAAACCCAAUCUUGAUUAGUUGAAUUAAAAAUCAAUAAUUAGGGAAGAUAAAAAAAAACCAAUCAACACACAAAAUAAAAUAUUUUUAACAUGGAAAACUUUCAUGCAAUAUGAAGAAAUAAAAAGUCAGAAGUCAUAAACUUCAAAUCUACAUCUAUUAUAUGAGAAUACAAUACACACUUUUAUCUAGCAGAUUGCAUUUGAAUCUCAUCUUAGCGCUUAAAAUGAUGCAAAUCUCCUUCACAAUCCAACAAAGACAAACAUGAACACUUCCUUGAAAGCUUUAAGAAUAAGAAGACAAAUUACAUUUUCCAGCUAGAAAAACUAAGCCAAAAACCUUUUUGAGUAAGGUAUAUGUACGCCCACAGACUUAGUGGACCAAUUCUCAAAAAAUCCUCAUGCAAUUUAAAUCCUUUAAAAUUGGAAAGAGAAAACUUUAGAAUUCUAGAGGAUUCUAUGUCGAGUGCUCAAGCACCCUCAUAUAGGGAUGACAACGGGGUGGGUUCGGGACAGGUCGCCCCCAUCCCAACCCCACCCCGUUUAUUCGAAAUAAUUCUCAUUCCCAUCCCAUUUAAAAAAUUAAACGGGAUGGGACGGGCCGAGGCGAGUAUGAUAAAUUUUCAUACUUGUCCUGUUUAACUUUUUUUUUUUUUUAAUUUUUUUUAAAAAAAUUACUUUUAAAUUUUUAAUUAUAUUAAAAUAAAUAUAUUUUAUAAAUAAUUAAAUUAUUAUAUUUUUUAUAACUUAUUUUAUUAAAAAUAUUUUAUUAUUAUCUAUAUAUUAAAAAUAAUAAAAUAAAAAUUAAAUUAAAUUAAUUUUAAAUUAUAAAUUAAAUUAAAUUUAAAAAUUAAUUUUAUAUAUAAUCGGAGCAGGGCUGGGUGGAGUGGGGCAAUACCCGAACCAGUCCCGAGUUUUUAAAAAAAUUCUCAAACUCAUCACAAACCUAUUUAUUAAAAUUAAACUCCGUCCCAUUAGAGACGGGACGAGGCGGGUACCCGAAUAAACCCGCCCCAUUGCCAUCCCUACCCUCAGAGCAUUUGAGUGCUUCUCAAGCAUUGAAUCCAGGCUUCAAGGUUCAUGUAGUUUUUAAACCCUAAAAAAAAAUUCAUUUUGAUCAAUUUUAAAAACUCGAUGGAUGUCAUGCUACACCAACUACUAAUUUGUCUUUCUAAGACAUUUCUAUACUUACCAAACUCAAUCGAUGCCAUGUUAUACCAAAAUAUGUAUAUAUAAACCAUUUUAACAAGAUUUUAUUGAUUUUAGUUUUUAAAAAUAGUUUUUUAUUAACCAUAUUUUAGUAAAGGGAAAAAGAGAAAUUCUUAUUAGUAAAUGUUUUCUAAAACAAAUGGAACCCAAAACUCUAAAUGUGCUUUAGAAAUUUUUUGGAAAACCAAAACCUGUUUUCUAAAAGGUUGAAAGAAAGAUAAUAAACAAAAUCUUGUGAGAUCCUUCUAUAUGAAUAUCAUAAAUAUAAAUGAAAAUGAAAAUGAAUAAAAUUACACAAUAUAGCAUGACUUAUCUGUAUAUAUUUGAAAUAUAAUAUUCUUUUAUAAGUGUUAUUACAAUUUAAAGUUAUAUCAAGUAUAUAUAUUUUUUCAUAUUAGGUUAAUUCAUUUUAUUAUAUUUUAUAAAUAGAUUUAAACUUUUUCUUGCAUUAUUUUAAAAUAAAAUUAGAGUAAAGGAAAUGUAAAAUAUAUGAACAAAUUUAAUUUUAGUGUUUUUAUUUGAUUAAGAAAUAAACAAGAAAUAAAAUUUUAUACUUUUUAUUUUUAAAAACGAAUUUUCAUUUUGCUCAACCGAAAGCCUUUUCAAAGUGAUCAUUGUCAAGAGUAUGGGCAACCAAAGGCAGCUAGAGGUUUAGUUGUAGUGUGUAGCAUGUGCAAAGACUUUGAAUUCAAGCCAUAAACGUGCACUACCUCUCUCUCCCUUAGUUGCAUUUGUCAUGUUCUCUUGUGAUGAUCUCCUUUAGAUGCUUAGACCCUUUGGGUCACGUGAACUAGUGGCAAGAAAAAUGAAUUGAUUUCAUGAUGGAGAGUGUAGGGACCCCUCCCCUUGGGAAACACGUGGCACGCGGCUCAUGGUGACGCGUGGCACGUGCUGUCAGCCGGACCAUCAUCAUCCGGAUUCCCCUACAGAUACGUAUGGUGCGACUAUCCUAUCCGGAACCCCCCAAGGAAAGACAAACAACGUUUCAGCUUCUCCUAUCCAAGGAAGAGCAAACGACGCUGGCAGAACGUAGACACCCGGAUAGUCUCCACAAACACAUCCGGAUAUUCAGCAUGAUCCAUCCGGAUAUAAAUCGUCUGGAUGGUCAAUUAAAGUAAAGCGAGUCUUACACGCAAUCACAACAAGCAGCCAUGGCCCACAUCCCAUCACCUGCAGAAUGAGAAGACAAGAGGAAGUGACAGCAAGUCACUUCCCACGAUCAUUCUGCAUAAUCGCUUCCCACGAUCUCUGACAGCCGCAUCACCUACCAUGGUCUCUGACAGCCAUUCGUAGGAUGAUAGUGCUCCUACUAACACCUAUUGUCAUCAUCACAACAGAAAAUAUCUCCCCACCAUUAAUGAGAGGAACAGUACCCCUGAAGCUGUAUAUAUAUGACUUCACACGAAGAAGAAAGGGAUGAUCUCCCGGUAACCUCUUGACACCUAGUAAAAGGCCAACUGCCUCAUAUAUCUUAUUCUCUUAUCAUGGCUAACAACAUCAUCGGAGGGUGCAUCCGGACACCUUGUCCGGAUGCCUUUUUACAGGUACAACCACUGAAUCAAGAACCCCUUGUGUGUUGAGAAUCGCGUGUCCAUCCAUCUAGCAGCAACGCGGCCCACCUGAUACGCGAGGUGACAACAUUGGCGCCGUCUGUGGGAACCUUUUACUUUUUAUUUUGAUUCAGUCACUAGCAAAGAUGGCCACACCUUCCCAAAGUCGAUCAUCUGGUAGAGAGGAAGAAGAUAAUCACGAAUGGCGUCAAGCCAUCGAAAAAAGACAGUUGGCGAGCGAAAAACAGCUAAGAGCUCUCCUCCAGGAGACGGAGAGGUUAAGGGAAGAAAACGCUGUGUUACGCAUUCAAGCCUCAACAUCAAGACCUCCUCGUCGUCAGCGCUCAAAAGGUCAAGUGGCGAACUCAAGGCCAGAGCCAGAAUCAAUAUAUCCUGGGUCAACAGGAGCUGUCCCAGGAACAUACAACGCAAGGCCCCAUGAGCCACGCACACCCAUGCCUCGAGCUCCCCGUGAGGAAAGCUCAGAUUCCACUCAUUUCUCAGCAAAAAGACAACGUGAUAGAAAAUCACAGUUGUCAAGUUCUAUGCGCGCAAGACUAGACCCACAGGAGCCUGGGAGAUCAAGGCCACCAGUAGCCACAACUCGGGCGCCACGCCCCGAUCCUAUGAUUGCUCCCAUGGUGCAGAACGUACCUCCGCAUCGUGACCCCAUGGUCACCCCAGCGAUGCGGAACGUUCACUCACACCUAGCGGAACGAUCACUCACACCUAGCGGAACGACCAGCUGGGAGAAACCUCCCAAACGAGCCACCCAUUGGCUCCAUCAGCAAAAGGCUGGAUGACAUGCUCUCCACGCCCUUUUGCUCUCAUAUCACCCAUUACGAGCCCCCAAGAGGAUUUCUCGUACCAAAGUUUUCCACAUACGAUGGGACCAACGAUCCCUUCGAUCACAUCAUGCACUAUCGACAGCUUAUGACGCUCGAUAUUGGCAACGAUGCAUUAUUAUGCAAAGUAUUCCUUGCCAGCCUUCAAGGGCAGGCCCUUUCAUGGUUUCAUCGCCUACCUCCUAACUCUGUUGACAAUUUUAGGGACCUCUCUGAAGCAUUCGUGGGACAGUACUUAUGCUCUGCUCGACACAAGCAGAAUAUCAGCACCCUCCAGAACAUAAAAAUGAAAGACAACGAAUCCUUGAGGGAAUUUGUGAAACGAUUUGGCCAAGCCGUACUCCAAAUAGAGGUUUGCAGCAUGGACGCUGUCCUACAGAUCUUCAAAAGAAGCAUCUGUCCAGGCACCCCAUUUUUCGAAUCGCUGGCAAAAAAACCUCCUACAACGAUGGACGAUUUGUUCAGACGCGCUAACAAAUAUUCAAUGCUCGAAGAUGACGUACGUGCAGCCACUCAGCAAGUUUUGGUUGCCGGACGGGCUUCUAGAGAUAACGUGGACAGACAUGCCAAACCUCCGGACCGGCCAAAACCAAUUGACCGGAGGCAGGACGGGCCGAGUCGUCCGGAUAGGCCGUCCAUCACACCCCUAUCCAUAUCAUACGAAAAACUUCUCCCAAUGAUCCAAGGGUUGUCCGACUUCAGGUGGCCUAGACCCCUCGAAACGGACCCAUCUAUAAGAGACCGCAGCAAGAAAUGCGCCUUCCACAAAGACCAUGGUCAUACAACAAAGACAUGUCGGUCCCUCCAGUAUCUAGUUGAGAGGCUCAUCAAAGCAAGACAUUUAAAACAGUACCUCCCCUCAGAUACUGGAGGAAGGGACGCAUCACAGCAUCAUAACUCUGGGGCCCCGAGGGCCCCAGUCGCCCCCAAGGCUGUCAUAAACUAUAUCAACGGGGGCCCAUCUGACGAGGAAUACGAUUCCAGGCGGAAAAGACAGAAAUUGCUGCGAGCCGCGUCAAUACGCGAACGCAUUAAUUCCAUCCGGCCGGGUCUUACUGGGGAGGGCCCUCGCCCCAUUGAUGGGACAAUCAUUUUCCCACCAGUAGAUCCCACCCGAACGCUACAGCCACAUCGCGACGCCCUCAUCCUCUCUCUAGAAAUAGGAGAUUUUGAUGUAAGACGUAUCUUGGUUGAUCCAGGCAGUUCAGCCGAUCUAGUACAAGCAUCAGUCAUUGGCCAUAUGGGACAUAGUCCCGCGGGUCUCGAAAACCCCGGACGAAUCUUAUCCGGAUUCAACGGAUCAUCAACAACAUCCUUAGGAGACAUUAUACUGCCGAUUCGAGCUGGACCAGUCACUCUCAACGUGCAAUUCUCGGUGGUACAAGAGUUGUCACCCUUCAAUGUCAUCUUGGGACGCACAUGGCUUCACUACAUGAAAGCCAUCCCUUCCACAUAUCAUCAAAUGGUGAGUUUCCUCACCAACGAAGGGCAAACUGACUUGUAUGGCAGCCAGUUAGCCGCUCGCCAGUGCUACCAAAUAGCACGUGAAGCAGUCGCUAACCAGGAGGAUGCAUCUCCCCCUGAACCUAGCAUUGCGCACGACCAAUAGCAAUUAUUGGGUCCGGUGGACAAGGAUCCCCCGGUAGCAGAUCCCUUACAAACAAUCCAAAUCUCAGAAGAGAAUGAUCACCUCACAAACGUCAGUUCCCUCAUGACACAAGAAGAAACCCAGAGCAUACAAAAUAUCCUUCGAAGCAACCAUGACAUCUUCGCAUGGACACAUUCGGAUAUGAAGGGAAUUCAUCCCUCUAUCGCCUCUCACAAGCUUAACGUCCUUCCAGCAGCCAGACCCAUUCGACAGAAGAUUAGACGCUUUCACCCGGAUAGACAAAGAGUUAUCCAAGAUGAAAUUAACAAAUUGUUGGAAGCAGGAUUCAUCAGAGAGGUAUCUUAUCCGGAUUGGUUGGCAAAUGUAGUAGUGGUACCAAAGAAAGAGGGCAAAUGGCGAGUCUGUGUUGAUUACACCAAUCUCAAUAAUGCAUGCCCAAAAGACAGUUUUCCCUUACCACGGAUAGAUCAAAUUGUGGAUUCCACUUCCGGGCAAGGGAUGCUCUCUUUCUUGGAUGCCUUCUCCGGAUAUCACCAAAUUCCCAUGUCUCCGGAUGACGAAGAAAAAACAGCAUUCAUAACGCCACACGGCCUCUAUUGCUACAAAGUCAUGCCAUUCGGACUCAAAAACGCUGGCGCCACGUAUCAAAGAUUGAUGACUAAAAUCUUCAAACCUCUGAUAGGCCGCUCGGUCGAGGUAUACAUUGACGAUAUCGUGGUUAAAAGCAAAACUCGAGAGCAGCAUAUCCUCCAUCUACAAGAAGUAUUUUACCUCUUGCGAAAGUACGACAUGAAGCUAAAUCCUUCCAAAUGUGCCUUUGGCGUGAGUGCUGGCAAGUUUCUGGGAUUUAUGGUCAGCCAAAGAGGCAUAGAAGUCAGCCCGGAUCAAGUCAAAGCAGUCAUGGAGACACCUCCCCCCAGGAACAAAAAGGAGUUACAACGCCUCACAGGCAAGCUCGUUGCGUUAGGACGUUUUAUAGCCCGCUUCACUGAUGAGUUGCGACCCUUCUUCUUAGCGAUACGAAAAGCUGGAACCCAGGGAUGGACGGACAAUUGCCAAAACGCGUUGGAAAGAAUUAAACAUUGUCUUAUGCAUCCACCCAUCUUGAGCAGCCCCAUCCCAAAGGAAAAGCUAUAUAUGUAUUUAGCUGUCUCAGAAUGGGCAAUCAGCACCGCUCUAUUCCGCUGCCCUUCACCAAAGGAGCAGAAACCUGUCUACUAUGUCAGCAGGGCAUUGGCAGAUGUAGAAACCAGGUAUUCAAAAAUGGAGCUAACAGCCUUAGCUCUUCGAAGUGCUGCCCAAAAGCUCCGCCCCUAUUUUCAAGCCCACCCAGUGAUUGUACUGACCGAUCAACCCCUUCGCAGCAUUCUACACAAACCAGAUUUAACUGGGCGAAUGCUACAAUGGGCCAUCGAAUUGAGCGAAUUUGGAAUCGAAUUCCAACCCAGAUUAUCCAAAAAAGGCCAAGUAAUGGCCGACUUUGUGCUCGAAUAUUCACGAAGACCCAACCAGCACCACGAAUCAAGUGAACAGGAGUGGUGGACACUACGAGUUGACGGAGCCUCGCGCUCAUCAGGCUCUGGAGUUGGGCUCGUAUUACAGUCCCCAACUAGGGAACAUCUGGAGCAAACCAUCCGGUUGGGAUUCUCCGCGUCUAACAAUGAGGCAGAAUACGAGGCCAUCCUGUCCGGAUUGGACCUCGCCCUUGCUCUAUCUGUCUCCAAACUCCGGAUCUACAGCGACUCGCAACUAGUGGUAAGGCACAUCCAGAAAGAAUAUGAGGCUAAGGACUCACGCAUGGCGCGAUACUUGGCCAAAGUAAGAAGCACCUUACAGCAAUUCACCGAGUGGACAAUCGAAAAAAUUAAGCGAGCUGACAAUAGGCACGCUGACGCUUUGGCCGGCAUAGCUGCCUCUCUACCUAUCAAAGAAGCCAUUCUAUUGCCCAUAUAUGUGCAAGCCAAUCCCUCUGUCGCAGAAAAUUCCACUUGCAACACCAUUGAGGCAACCCAAACGGAUAAUCAAGAAUGGACGCAGGAUAUUGCAGAAUAUAUCCGGACAGGCACUUUACCCAAAGAUCUUAAACAAGCACACAAAAUCCGGGUGCAGGCUGCCCGCUUCACCCUGAUCGGGGGANNNNNNNNNNNNNNNNNNNNNNNNNNNNNNNNNNNNNNNNNNNNNNNNNNNNNNNNNNNNNNNNNNNNNNNNNNNNNNNNNNNNNNNNNNNNNNNNNNNNNNNNNNNNNNNNNNNNNNNNNNNNNNNNNNNNNNNNNNNNNNNNNNNNNNNNNNNNNNNNNNNNNNNNNNNNNNNNNNNNNNNNNNNNNNNNNNNNNNNNNNNNNNNNNNNNNNNNNNNNNNNNNNNNNNNNNNNNNNNNNNNNNNNNNNNNNNNNNNNNNNNNNNNNNNNNNNNNNNNNNNNNNNNNNNNNNNNNNNNNNNNNNNNNNNNNNNNNNNNNNNNNNNNNNNNNNNNNNNNNNNNNNNNNNNNNNNNNNNNNNNNNNNNNNNNNNNNNNNNNNNNNNNNGAGUCCGGACUGUAGAUCGCGCGUCAAACGCGGCUUCUUGAGGGGAGGCCCUUUCACCAGGACUAUAGCCAGGCGAUCCGGGUCGUCGGAAGGCUGACUUUGGCUUUCUGCUCCCGCUUCCUCCAACGGGGCCGUUUCAGCUGCAUCAGCAUCCGGAUUAAGGUUGCCCGGACGGUUGAUAGAUGCAGCUUCCUCAGCCACGUUAGCCAGACGCGCAGCCGCGACCAAGGAAGGACCUGAGUGAUUCAACCCCGACAUGCGUCCGGGGCCGCUUGAGAUAGAGUGCGGAGCAGCAUUUACUGGCUCCUCUAUCAUUACUUCCCCCUCAUAGGUAGUUUGGGGAGGAGGAAACUGCUUGGGAGGAGUGGGUUCCUUCAUGUCCUUCCCAUGCUUCUUCACCAGCUUCCCCCUUUUUCCUGAAGUUUUCUUUGGAGGAGAGUCCGGACCCCGCUUCUGUCCGGGAGCCUUCCGGAUAGUGCCUUCAGUUUUUUUCUGAUCUCUAUCCUCCAGGAGCUUUCGCCGCCUUUCAGCGUCAGCCUCUUUGGCUUCCUGACAGAGGGGGAGCUCCUUCACAGUAUAAUGCUCCCCAGGCACUAUCUCAUCCUUUGCCAAUUUCCUAGGAAGAAUAUUGAUAACAUAUUCCUGGGGCUCCCGGACGACCUCCGUCAAAUUCCGCGCGGAAAGCAAUGUUUUGUAGGCCCUCUCCUUGGGGUCUAUUUCAAAUAAUUUGCAGACGCAGGCAAAGGACGCCUUUUCCACCCAAUCCACAAGGUGGCCCCUCAAUUCCAAACCUGCAUUGUCAGCAACAAAGGGUGAGAAUUCUGUCCGGAAAAAUCAGAAAAAAUCAGCAAAGCAAAAUCCGAAUAAAAAAUCGCAAAACAAGAUUACCCGGGAUUUGUAAGGUAUAAUUCGGAGAAAAAGGCCUCGACGGAUGCUGCGAUAGCCCCGCCCAUCCACCCCAGACUGCCACCAGCCCCUUCGCCCCUCCCUUUGUCGAAUCUGGCAGUUCUGUCACCAUUUGAAGGGAGGGCAGGUGAGCGGACACACUGAAGAUAUCAUUCUUUGCUUUCUUCAGGGAAUAGACAAAGAACAAUUCCAGUAGCGUAAGGUCGAGGCUGUACAGCAUGUUGAUAAUGCUGCAUCCCAUCAGCACCCGGACAAGGUUGGGAUGAAUGAAGAUGGGUGGAAUCUGAGAGAAGUGGAGGAAUUCCUUGAACAAGGCUGGCAGAGGGAACCGGAGCCCCGCGUUGAAUUGUUCCUUUGUGAAGAGGAUAGCGUUUUUUCCACCUUUCUCAGUAGGAAUAGCCGCCUCCUCGUUCACCAGGUCUAUCAAUACGUCAUGGGGGAUGCGGAAUCGCUCCCGGAACUCCUUCGCAUUUANNNNNNNNNNNNNNNNNNNNNNNNNNNNNNNNNNNNNNNNNNNNNNNNNNNNNNNNNNNNNNNNNNNNNNNNNNNNNNNNNNNNNNNNNNNNNNNNNNNNAAUCUGGCAGUUCUGUCACCAUUUGAAGGGAGGGCAGGUGAGCGGACACACUGAAGAUAUCAUUCUUUGCUUUCUUCAGGGAAUAGACAAAGAACAAUUCCAGUAGCGUAAGGUCGAGGCUGUACAGCAUGUUGAUAAUGCUGCAUCCCAUCAGCACCCGGACAAGGUUGGGAUGAAUGAAGAUGGGUGGAAUCUGAGAGAAGUGGAGGAAUUCCUUGAACAAGGCUGGCAGAGGGAACCGGAGCCCCGCGUUGAAUUGUUCCUUUGUGAAGAGGAUAGCGUUUUUUCCACCUUUCUCAGUAGGAAUAGCCGCCUCCUCGUUCACCAGGUCUAUCAAUACGUCAUGGGGGAUGCGGAAUCGCUCCCGGAACUCCUUCGCAUUUAGUUUAUCUAUCGCCUUUUCGCCAGCCUCGCUGACCCGGACAGACGAAACAGUCUUUUUUGGAGUCAUUUCUUACCACAAAGCCAAAGCAAAAUCUACACGCAAAAACAAUGCAAACGGUCCAGACCAAGCAAUCAGAAAAUACACAAACUCAAAGCAGUCAGAAAAACCCCUCAAAAACCCCUCCAAACAAACAACAAAGUACCAACAUUAAACAAACAAUUGCAAGCGACUUGUUCAAAACAAAGCCAGGAACCAAGUUUAAAGAACCGGCAAACGCAACCAAAGGAAUGACAAUAGCAAAGAGGUACGUACCAAAUAGAGCUCUGGAGAAGAAAAACGGUUACUCUCUCGGUAUAAAAUCACCGGCAACAAACAAACGAGGUCGUUCGAAGUUUUUCUCAGAAAAGCAAAGGACGCAGAAAAAGUAAGAAGAAGGAAGGCUCUCAAGAGAAUGCAGUAGAAAAAAUACAAAAAGAGGUACAGUGCCCUAUUUAUAGCAGGACAGCCCCUCGGAAAGCCAAACCAACAGCCGUGUUAUCAUUGAAACGACAUAUUGCCUGGGGAUACACAGGGUCGGCGGCUCGCCAUAAAUGCCUUUUUUGGCUUUCGCACCCCCACUCGCCACGUGGCUAAGUUAGACGAAUGGACUUUUUCAAUUUUCAAAAACCCAGUUAUUUUUAACCCGCCCAUUUUUUGGCAAAAUAAGCAAGUUAAAAAGGGGGGCAAUGUAGGGACCCCUCCCCUUGGGAAACACGUGGCACGCGGCUCAUGGUGACGCGUGGCACGUGCUGUCAGCCGGACCAUCAUCAUCCGGAUUCCCCUACAGAUACGUAUGGUGCGACUAUCCUAUCCGGAACCCCCCAAGGAAAGACAAACAACGUUUCAGCUUCUCCUAUCCAAGGAAGAGCAAACGACGCUGGCAGAACGUAGACACCCGGAUAGUCUCCACAAACACAUCCGGAUAUUCAGCAUGAUCCAUCCGGAUAUAAAUCGUCUGGAUGGUCAAUUAAAGUAAAGCGAGUCUUACACGCAAUCACAACAAACAGCCAUGGCCCACAUCCCAUCACCUGCAGAAUGAGAAGACAAGAGGAAGUGACAGCAAGUCACUUCCCACGAUCAUUCUGCAUAAUCGCUUCCCACGAUCUCUGACAGCCGCAUCACCUACCAUGGUCUCUGACAGCCAUUCGUAGGAUGAUAGUGCUCCUACUAACACCUAUUGUCAUCAUCACAACAGAAAAUAUCUCCCCACCAUUAAUGAGAGGAACAGUACCCCUGAAGCUGUAUAUAUAUGACUUCACACGAAGAAGAAAGGGAUGAUCUCCCGGUAACCUCUUGACACCUAGUAAAAGGCCAACUGCCUCAUAUAUCUUAUUCUCUUACCAUGGCUAACAACAUCAUCGGAGGGUGCAUCCGGACACCCUGUCCGGAUGCCUUUUUGCAGGUACAACCACUGAAUCAAGAACCCCUUGUGUGUUGAGAAUCGCGUGUCCAUCCAUCUAGCAGCAACGCGGCCCACCUGAUACGCGAGGUGACAACAGAGAGGUCAUCAUGCUCAUCCUAGUGCCAAUUAACUCAAAACAACUAAGGAUAAUUCUAUGAUGGGGUAAUUAUCGAACAAGGUGAUAUUACAUGAUAAGAAAAAGGUUUAUUUGAUAUCUCAAUAUAAUUUGAUAUUUAGGUUGCUUAAAAAGAUUAAAAUGAGAUUGAAGAAUGAUCCGUCAUUUUCGAAUUGUGUGGCGGGUCGAGUGUGGGGAACAUCAUCCUAAGAGUAAAGCCACGCCAGAGAGAAGUCCCACUGGCACUGAAAUCAAGGCAACUAGAAGAAAAGGCUUCAGUUACGUCGUCAACCGAAAGAGUUGAAGUGAAGCCAUCCAGAUGAGGCAUUAACUGCAAAGAAAAAACAAAACAUGUGGCUGCUUAAUUUCUUGAUAUGGUGGAGCCGCAUGAGGGCAUGAGUUGAGUAUAUAAGUGGAUGCAAGCUUCAUUCCUUGACCAUUAAGCCUCUUUGGGUUACUGAAUACUGAGAGUAGAACCAAAUUGCAAUGGCAAAUUCACCUGUAGUGUGGUUAGCAUCCGUGUGGCUUGUGUCCAAUAUAUUGUCCCUUCCAUUCCUGGAAUUGGGUAUAUCUUCUUGUGGUGGCUCAUGUCAAACACUUAAUGACUGUGAAGGUCAGCUCAUGCAUCGAUGGUAAAUGUAACGACGAUCCCGAGGUCGGGACUCACAUAAAUGGAGGAAGUUCAAUUACCCCUCCACCUCCACCUCCCGGUACCUGCCAGCCCUCCGGAACUCUUGCGUGCAAUGGUGGAAAACCCAAAAAUACCUACACAUGCUCUCCUCCGGUCACCUCCUCCACGCCUGCCGUUCUAACUAACAAUAAUUUUGAAAAAGGAGGGGACGGUGGAGGCCCAUCCACUUGCGACAACAAAUACCAUGACAAUUCAGAGCGCAUCGUAGCAUUGUCAACUGGGUGGUAUAAUGGGGGAUCCCAGUGUGGAAAGAUGAUUAGGAUAACGACUCAAAAUGGGAGGAGCGUGUCACAGUGGUGGAUGAGUGUGACUCCAAAUCUUUAUGAUUAAUGUUUUCCGUGAUGCCCCAAUUACUAAUACAUGCAGUUACUUCGUCAACGCAACAUAUAUCAUGUGAACAUUACUAUACUAUCUGCCUACAAGAUACUGUUGGCAGUACGUACGUACCAACCAAUUAGUAUCUCUAGGAUUCUCAUAGUAUUAAUUAUCUAUUCCAAUCUACUCAUUUUCAUCGAAAUAACUAUAAUUAAAAUAUCUGCAAACAUUUUAGGAAAAUAGAUAUGCAUACCUAUGGGUCUUUUGGACUUAAAACUUACCACAGUACAGAUAUAUCAAAGCUUUGUCAAGUGUUGUGGUAGUAGAACAUAUAACUGUAAACCAAAGACUUUAUACGACUACUCGGAUACAUUUGUACAUGUCUAUGAAUUCACACACUUAUUGCCCUAUGGAUAUCCCAACUAUCAUGAGAAUUAAUUGUAGAGUACGUAGGUCUCAAUCUCUUAGGAUGGCCCCAGUUCCACACUCAUUCAGGUAAUUAUCAAAAAUUUUCCUGCCAACCAUCCUAACUUUAUAGCUUAUAGACUAAUUAAGACUUUCCACUCCGGCUCUAUAGCACUACAUGAAAGUCGUAAUGUAAAGACAUCCCAGAUGAAGUGUGGCACAAAUAAUGAGGAGGAAGAAAAAUCGUAAUGAACAGAAAGCCCAAUAACUAGCAGGGAAAGCCAAUGACUCCCAAGCACCACGUGUAUUAUGCGCACAAGCGGAAAUAAUUUGGAGAAAAUUUAGAUUUGCACGUGUAUCAUGUGUUGAAAGUCAAAAUUAUGUUUGGGUAAAGGACCAAUAUGACCCAAAAUCUAGAUUUGCACCCUUGACACUUUUAAAAUAGAACCCUACAUUUCAAACCUAUUAUAUAUAUACCAUUUGGAAAUAAAAUACCUAAAUAAAAGGGAUCCGAUGAUCAAAUGGCCCCUUUGUAAAUCAAUGAGAGAUGAAGAUGCUCAAAAAUCUUCAUAAAUAAUUGAAAUUUUUUGUUCCAUCAUUUCUAGAUACAAAAAUGGGUUUAUGGAUUUAAAGAGUGUUUUUCAAGGGGAAAGCCCCUUGACCUUAUUGCCUAUGGCCUCUUUUAUAAGCAUUCUUCCCAUGCAGAUGUAUUGUAAAUCUUGUGAAGGAGCAGACUUUUUCUAUAAGCUUUAACUUUUGGGUGAAUGAGGAUAAGAGCAGUUGAAUUUGUCUUUUCAAGCACAAGUUGGUCAAUCAUGUCAACUUGUAAGAAGAUCUUCCCUUUUUAUGAUCUUUAUUUUGGGGUAAGGUAAAUUUGUAUCUUUUCAAAUAAGUGUUGUAUGACUGCAAAUGAGACUUUUUAAAAACUAUAAGUUUUAGAGUAAACUUGUGUUGUUCAUUUGGAAUUAGGUUCUUUAAUCAAAUUGGGUGAAUGGUGCUACCUCUUUACUCGAGAUGGCCUCAGGGUUGGGUGGCUGAAGAUUAGUAUUUCAAGAUGGCUUGUUUAUUGUUCACUUCAAGAGACAAGAAAGAACUCAUUCCUACAAGGUUGCUUCGCCCUACCAAAGAAUUGUUGCUUCUUCAAUAAAUAUUCCUUCUCUGCGGGAAGGCUCCACUUUUAUAGUUCUUAAUUCAUGCAUCAUUAUUACAAAAGUUGCAGCCGAGGGAUUGUGUACAUAAACUAUGGUCUAUGAAGACAGCCAUAUCAAUGCCUUGAUAGUGUGAAAUUUAGCUUUCUUUCGAGUAAUUUAUUUCCCCCCCUUUUAUAGGUAGAGGGUGGAGCAAGAUAGGCGGAUGAUCAAAAAUCGACUAGUGCAAAUUGAAUUGAAAGGAGUCCAAUUGGGGUUGGCCCAGCAAUUUGAUUGUGUGGAACUCUACCAAGAAAUAGCACAUGAUAUAACGUCACAAAAGAGGAGAACGAUUAGUUCUGGAUUGAGUUAUCAUAAUUUCGUGCAGAGCCAAGUUUCAUCCACCCAUCACGCAUGCCCGGAAAAAAAACAAAAAAUCUGAGGAGCUACACUAAAUGCCUCCUCAAUAGAGCAGGUUGACCCGUAGCCAAUGCCCACAAGUUAAUGGCCAAGUUGAAGAAAUUAAAGGUGCCCCGCUAUGUGGACCAAUUGCAUUUAGCACUCAUUACUUCCUGAGCCAGACAACAGCUUGGAGUGGAUUCAGUAUCAAUAUAAGCAGCCUCUUCCUUAGGCCUCAUCCAAAACAUUCCAAACCGCUGGGCCAAUUUACCUUAUUGAAGGUGGCUCCAAUGGCAAAUUUAGCACUGUUGCUAGCAUCUCUGUGUCUUCUCUCCAACAUUUUCUCCCUCCCAUUCCUUGCAUUUGCUAUAUCCUCCUGUGGUGGCCCAUGUCAAACCCUUAACGACUGUGAGGGUCAGCUCAUAUGCGUCAGUGGUAAAUGUAAUGAUGAUCCAGACGUCGGGACUCACAUUUGUCAAACCCCAUCACCAUCCCCUCCAAGCGGCUCUAACUGUCAAGCCUCCGGCACUCUUACGUGCGGGGGAAUAUCCUAUCCCACCUACAGAUGCUCCCCUCGGGUUACAUCCUCCACACCUGCCAAACUCACAAACAAUGACUUUAGCGAAGGCGGGGACGGUGGAGGCGCGUCGGAGUGUGAUGAGCAGUACCAUAGCAACUCGGAGCGUAUUGUCGCCCUGUCAACCGGGUGGUACAAUGGCGGAUCGCGAUGUGGAAAGAUGAUCAGGAUUACGGCACAAAAUGGGAGGAGUGUGGUGGCCAAGGUGGUGGAUGAGUGUGACUCCAUGAGGGGGUGUGACCAAGAGCAUGCAUACCAGCCUCCUUGUAAGAAUAACAUAGUUGAUGGAUCUGAUGCUGUGUGGAGUGCUCUGGGGCUGGAUAAGGACAUAGGUGUAGUGGAUGUUACCUGGACCAUGGCUUAGGUACGUUAGCUUUAGUGCUUGUAGCCACCUAAUAAACGGCGUUACGUACCGAGCUUCAAUGCCUAAUUACUGGCUGUGUUGUAUCGACACAUUAAUAUGAAGUAAAUAAAUGGUCAAGAUUUUAAAAAGUAUUUUUAGUAUUUUUAAAACUUAAAUAAUAAAAAAAAUUAAUAAAAAUAUUAAAAGUCAUUUAAACGGACUCUAAUUUUAUGUUGUGAGAUCACUUCCUUGACUAGCUUUAUUAAAUUAGUAGGCAACUUGACCUACCUAGCUAACUUAUAUUCGACAUCAUCGUUGUUAGCCUCUUUAAUGACACAAUUAAUUAGACUAGAAAAUCAAAAUUGAUAAUAAUUCACUGAAAAACCAUUAAGGAAAUUGGAGUCGAUUUUUAGAAAAUUAUCCUUGUGAUAUACCUUUAUGAAUGACUCUCAUAAGAUACUCCCUCUAAUAGGAAUCAACAAAUGUUUUUAGAAAGAUUAGUAAUUCAACAAAAAUGACCUAUAUGGUAACAAUGGAAAAGUCCCACCACGUUCCUAUAGUUGGUUUGGCAAUAUCAUCCUUUUAAUUACUACAGCCCCAUUUGGAUUGUAGCUACCUCAAUUCAAUUCCAUUCACGGUUGCUUUUGAAUUGAAUAAGAAGAUCAAAAUUCUUUACUUAUCUCACUUGAUUGCUCUAAAGUUUGGAUUAAGAUUUUUUAGUAAAGUUAAUUUAAAAUUUAUUCUAAAUUAUAAAAUUUUAAUAUAUUUACCUUCAUUAAUUUUAACUAAUACUUUUCUCAUUAAUUUUAACUCAUAUUUAUUUUCAUUAAUUUUAAAUAAUAAAUUUAUUUGUAAAACAUCUAGAUUUAAAGUACAAAUGAAUAACAUAACUAUAAAAUAUUUAUUGUAAAAAAUAAGUUAUGGAUGUUUAAAGUAUGGAACUAUCAUUCUAAAAUACACUCAUUGUUUUAAAAAAAUUGAGAUUAAAAAUAAAUUAAUCAUUUUAACUCAAUACUUAAAGUAAAAAAUAAUUUUAAAUUAUAAUAUUAAGUUAUUCUACCCGACAUACUUAAUGAUUUAAAUUAAGUUAUUAAGUCAUUAAAUUGAUUUAAUAACACCCUUUUAAGAGUAGAGAGAAAAUGUUGACUUCCUUUUACUAAAAUUUUCCAUUGCUUCGUCGUAAUUCAUAUUCAAGUUGGCUAUGUGAAGAAAAGAGGCGCUUACAAUAGGACAUUUUCCUAGCUAGAUAACAGAAUGGACUAUCUUGCAUUGGGUUGGACAAAGAGCCAAUACAUAAACCCAAGCCCAAGCCCAAUUAACGUUGGAUUGGGUUGGAAACCUACUGAACUAGCUAUUGGGCUUAAUAUGAAUGUGGCCUGGGCCCCGAUUUAGGCAUCUAUAAUAUGAAAUACAAAUAAUUGCCUUUAUGCAUGUCACUUCAGAUAAAAGAAAAUAAGUUCCUAGGAAGCAUGGAAAUAUUUGCUUGCACACCGGUCUGAUUUCUAAAAAUUGCCGGAAAAAGAUAAAAUGCAAUGUGAAAAUGAAAGAAUAAAGUAGAAAUAAGUAAAUUUUUUAAGUUUGAUUUUUUUCCCUUUAUUCACUUUUAUUAAUUUUUUAAAUACAAAUUAUAAAAAUACACAAAAUAAAAUCAAAUAUAGUUGAAAACUUGAAAUUAGUUAAAAUUUUAAAAUAAUAAACUAUAAAAUAAUUUUCAAUUAUUUUCAACAUUAAGACUAUUUGAGAAUUCAAAUAUCGGAAUCUCAAUAAAAAUAGUAACUACUUAUAAAUAAUUAGUAGUUUCAAUUAUGGUUCUAAAUAUUAUAUAAAAAGUAAUUAAAAAUACUUAAAAUUUAAUACUAAAAAUAAAUUUCUUUUUUAUUAAAAGGUUUUUGAGUUAAAAAAAAUUAUUAAGAAAAUAGAAAACUGUUUUUUGAAAACAAUUUUCGAACAGGGAAUUUUUUUUCUGCUGUCUUUUAGAAUUUUUGAGACUCCGAGGUCGUCCAAUGACUAGUAAAUUUUCUUGCUCUCACAAAGGGAAGUAAAAGAAGUAGCCCAUCAAGGAGGAAAAAAAAAACACGAAAAUGGGGGCAGGUGUAAUAAUGAUAUAGAAAUGCAAGCAUUAAAUGUGUCUACCCAAAGUCCAAAGACGUCGAGAGAAGAUUUUGUAAGUAGUAAUAAUUACAAGAGCAGACUUGAGCAGUGGCGAACAAUGAUUUCAGAAGUGGGAGUGCAUAUAUGGCAUAUUAUUAGGAUUUGUAAGUGAAAUUUUUUUCUAUUUUUGUUGUUUGACCUUUCUGAGUGGUGGUGGAUGUCUAUGUCUGCCCACUCCUCAGUUCUGAAUUUGGGUUUGUAAUUGUCCCUCAUCACCCAAUUAUGGCUUCCACAUUCACAAUACCCAACAUGCUUAUUAAGCUUUCAACUCGGGUAUUCUUACUUGUUUCAACUUUUUUGCUUAAGGCAAUUUCCUUUUGGAUUUCGGAUUAUUUAUUAUUUUAUCAUUAUUUUAAAAAAAUUAUUGAAUAAAAAAUAUUACAAUAAUUUUUUUGAUAUUAAAAAUAACAUAUUAAAUUUUUUUAUUGUUUAAUACUUAAUAUUGUUUAGUUAUAGUUAAGUUAAAAAAAAAAAAAAAAACUCCACCUUAUAGAAAAUUAGAACACAUUUAAAUUACUGUUUUUUUAUUAUUGUUGUGAAAAUUGUUGAGCUAAGUUUGUUCAAUCUAUCACUAUGUAUUAAGCUAUUUUAUAUUUUGGUAUUCUCUACGCUUAAAUAUAUAAUAUAUAUGUGUAUAUAUAGUAUUAAGUUUUUUUUAUCACGUGAGAAAUGUGAUUGAAAAAAUGAAAUAAAAUUAGGUUUUUUUUUAAUAUUGUUUUAGAGCUCAAGGGCGAAAUUAAUGUUCAUUUAUAGACCUUUUUGUGAAAUCUUAUGCGAUAUGUUUUAUCUCUAUUUCUUUUUUAUCAAUGUUCGUGAUAAAUUUUCACAUCAAAUAUCAAGAUAUUUAUAUAAAUUUUCAAGUUGAAAAAAAUUUAAUUAUUAUAUUCUCAUUUUAUUGAAGUAGAAAAAAAAAUUUCGUGGGUUUUUAUAUUUUGAGGGUUUUUUCAUGUUAUAUUUUGUGUCCAAUUUUUGGUUAAAUGUUAUUGUCAUUCUUGAUUAUUUUUUAGAUUGUUAUAAUUAUUGAGUAGAAUAUAAUAUCAAUUCACAUUUGGUAGAUGUGUGUUGGUAUUCUAUAUUAGAUGAUAAAUAACUUAUAACAUGUAGUGUAAUAAUAAUUAGGGCAAAUUGAAUCUUAUUUGGUCUAAUAUGAUUAACUUUUCGGAUUGACAUAUUUAUAAUUUAAUGAACUUAUUUUCUUAAAAUAUAAUUUUAAAUGAAUAAAAUAUUAGUUAAAUAUAUUAUUAUUAUAAUCAAGUUAAUUCAUGUUAAACACAUCCAUUCAAGUUAGUUUUUUUUUCUUAUUUAUUAAAGUUUUAAAAUUAUUUUUUAGUAUAAAAAACUUUAUUAAUAUAAAAAUUAAAUCAUAUUUUUAUUAAUAUUUUGAUUUCUCUCUAUUUAUUGUAUUUUCAUUUCUAUUUGUGGCCCGCCAAAAUAGAGAUAAGGAAAAAACUAAAAAGGGGUGGUGAAAGAAUAUUAUGAUAUGAGGCGGUGUAGAGUAGACCAUCCCGAGGUAAUUGAGUUGUGUGGAUACGAAAGAAGGGGCGUGUGAGAGAACAGAGACAUAAAUAUUCCGAUUUUGCGCAAGGGGCCCCACUUGUAAUAGAUGCCUUCUUCAUAUCAUAUCAUAUGAUGAGGGGAAGGUCAAGUGUAUGAACGGUCAAUGUGAUGGGGUCAAGCAUUUGUGAAAUUUUCAAUCCUCUAUAAAGUAUAAACUACACCACCAAUCACACCCUCUUAUUCUCAACACAUCCACAACCAAACACACCCUCACCGUCAUCAUCAUCAUCAUCAUCAUCAUAUUACUUACCAUUUUACUACAUCACCAUGCUACAUGCACCCACUUCCUUUUCACCUUGGGUUCUUUUUUACCCAUGGCAACAUUGAUUUACAUGUGAAAAAGUAACCAUUUUCUUUGAGAGAGAGAGGACUUUAGCUAAAUAUGGCCAUUAGAAUCAAUUGGAUGGGAGGAAGAGGACUUUUGGUAAAUGUGACCAUUGGAAUCCAUCUCCAACUAGAAACACCACCCACCCCCUCAUCAGCUACCAAAGUUGGUCCGUUGAAUAAAAUCUUUUGUGAAGAAUCCAUGGGUGAUCGGGUCAUUUCAACCGUAUUUUUCUUCUCAUGAGUCAUAAUUAACACAACCUGACCGAUCACUGUUUUUCACUUGUAACAGAUGUGUCACGCAGCCAAGAAAAGGGUGCCAUUAUUAAUUUAUGAACGUAAGAUAGCUUCAUUUUCUCUGCGACCAAACAGUGUGAAAUGACAGUUUUCGUUAUUUAUUUUAUUUUGAAGAAAAAAGAGGCGGUGAGCCGUGAGUGGCACAGAGGUUAUUACCUGGAAAAUCAAGUGCGGAAAUAAAAGCGAAAAGACCACCGUAAAUGACCUAACGAAGAAAAGAAAAAUAAAGUACUUAGAAGCAGAGCGGUAGAGGGGGAGGGGAGCGAGUUGAUAGAGUUCCUAGGGCUUCUGUAUUGAGGUGAUGUGAUGACGUCAUCACACCAUGUUCAAGGCCCUGUGUUGAAGUGAUGUGAUGACGUCAUCACACCAUGGCCGUCGUCAGGGCUGGAUUGUUCCUUUUGCUGUCUUUUAUUUUUUCAAAUUUUAAAUUUCUUUUUUCUUAAUUGUUUAUUGCCUUUUGAGAGGGGCUCUUCAGGCUGUCAUAUUGUUAAGGUCACCAUCCGUGACGUCGACGUCCCUCAGGGCUCCUGUAAUGCCCUUUUGCUUUGCCAUUUAUUACACAGAUUGCCAUAGGUAUCCCUGGAUUAGGGAGUUAUUGCAUAUCUGGAUCAUUAAAUACAUGGAUCUCCUUGCACUUAGCCGAGGGAACCGACAAAAUUUGUCAGAUUUCGACUGUUUUUUAUCAUCUCGUUUUUUGUUAAGGAAAAAGCUAUUUACUACUUACUAAAAAAAUACAAAUUGGAAUAAAACAUUAUGUAAAUUUAAAGAAUAAAAAUAUAAAAAUAAUAAUAAAAAUAUUUCUAAUAAAAUAUUUUAAAGAAUAAAAAAUAUUUUAUUUUUAAUUUCAAUAUUAAUAAAAUAUUAAGAAUAAAAAUAAAAAAGAAAAAUCUAAGAGAAGAAAGAAUGAAAGAAAAUAAAAAAUAGAUUUAAAUUUAAUAAAUUAUUUUUAUAUAUUUAUUUAAAUUUAUUUAUUAUUAAAUAAUUUUAAAAUAUAUAAAUUUUAAAUUAAUUUUAAUUAUAUUUGUUUUUUUUAUAUUUUUUUAUAAUAAAAUCAAAUAUAAAAAAAAUAUUUUUUUUUUCCUUUUUUUAGAUAACCAAGCUUAAGCUAGACGAAGUGACUACUCUCUUUAAAUAUAUGAUUGGAUUGUUAUUAAAGAGAAGCAAAUUUUGCAACGGUCCUCAUAUUGAGAUCAGAUGAUGAUUAGUCAUGUAUCAACAUGCGACAUGGGAGAAUAUUUUUAUAAGCAAAAAAAAAAAAGAAAAAAGGAAAAAAAAGAGUGGGAAGCUGGCAAAUGCCACCUCAUCCAUAAACCCAUGGAUGGUAGUAUCGAAAUUAAUGAUAAUAAUUAAGGCCCUUUGUUUAACGGAGGAAUGUGGUGGCUUUUUAUUGGAAAGAAAAGCGAGCGAUUUUUCAUUCACGAGCUUGACAUUUUUGGACGUUAAAUCUAACGUCGACGUCAAGUUAGAGUCUUAAAAAAGCUAAGCUCGGUUAGCCGUUAAAGCUAACGGCAAUUAUCUUCCAUUCGCAAUUAUUGGUCUCGUCCUUUGCUCGUUUUUCUGCUCUCAAGCUUUCGUCGGAUUAUCGCCGGAACUCCACCGGAAUCUUACUGGGAGAGCUACUGCCACGAGCUGUAAUAGGUUGUUUUCAAGAUUAGGAUCUGAUCCAUGUCAGUACUCAGAGGUAAUGAACUACGCGAACUUGGUCACAGAAACUACAAAAUUUUCUCGCUCUUUUUUCUUGAAGUGAUAUGCAGGAAAUGAUUUUUCAUGGAAUAUUUGUUUUUCGUUUGGUUUGUUUGUUGGUUUUUGCUCUGAAUUAUGAAACUUUUGAAUUAAACUCUUGUUCUUUAUGGCUUUAUUCAAAACUUUCUGUAAAAAAAUCAUAGCUCUAGAGCAGGUAUGUGGAUAUGGGUUUUAUCUGUUGUUGGGAUUUUUUCACCUGGAUCUGUUUUGAAGUUUUAAGAUUCUAUAUGAUGAAUUGAGGGGCGGAGGUUUGAUGCUGUUUAUAAUUGAAAUUAGGGUUUCAGUGGGUGAAGUGAAGUAAGUUAUUGUAGAUGUUUUUCUAUGCCGGGUCGUAGUUGAUUGGCUUGUUGCCUUUUAUUUACGUUUAGUUUUGAUGUGGAGGUUUCCUUUUCGGUUUAUGGUGAAUGCUGGGUUUGGUCGAUAUUGGAGGUUACCAACAGUGGAAAAUUUCAGAUGGUGAAUACUGAGUUUGGUCGAUAUUGGAGCUUGCCAACCGCGGAAAUUUUCAGAUGGAGUGUCUGAAAAUGAUGUUACUUGGUUGGUAGCGUUCUAGACUUUGGAAAUAACAUCACCAGUGAACUGAAGGAAGAGAAGAAAGUGAACUCUCUCUACAGUGUGUGUCUCUGCGUGGGUUGUGGUGAAGGUAGACUUUGGAAAUAACAUCACCAGUGAACUGAAGGAAGAGAAGAAAGUGAACUCUCUCUACAGUGUGUGUCUCUGCGUGGGUUGUGGUGAAGGUGGUGAAUCUGGUGAUGUUACUUUGAGAAGAUUUUUCGUCCACGUUGUGUUGUCUUCGUUUUGUCUAUCAAGGUCCAUGUGACCUCCCACAACUAUCACUCUCUGGUGAAUUUUUCCCACAUGGAUUCCUGUUCAUUUCAUUCAUUUCUUAUCAUGUUUUUCUGCUAUCCUACGUUACUAUUUGCUCUCUCUCUCUCUCUCUCUCUCUCUCUCUCCCCUUUUCUUUCCCUUUCUCUCCCUCUAUUUCUAUCUCUCUUGUGCGUUUGUGGAUGUGCGUCUGAACGAUUAUAUUUAAUGUUUCGUUAUGUUUCUGUCUAUAGACGGGUACUUAUUCGUCUGUGAUUAUCUCAUUCAUUGCAAGCUUCAUAUUUGGCUUUUAAGUUUUUAACUUCGACUGAACAGCAGGAAAUGCAUAGGAUGAUAUAUCUAGUUGAUGGGUUGUGAUAGAGUUCUCUCCUCAAACCAUGUGCUGGGUGAGUUUUAGUGGUGGCAGGUUGCAGUAAGGCCUUCAGUUGUGAACCCAAGAAACGCUAGCUAAGAUCUUUUUUGGAUGGAGAUGAGGAACUUUAGACCUGAAUCGCAUGUAGCACAGCAAAGCCGGCGUGAUAAGCUUAGAGUUCAACAUCAAAGUUCAACCCCAGCUCACCAUUUGGAGGAGUUCCCUAACAGUUUGGAACAAUUAUCGGUCCAUCCAGAACUAAACCCAGAUCUUAUUCAAGUUCGGAAUGUUAGGAACGGCAAUGUGCUUUAUGAUCCUAUUGUGCUCUCCUCGGAAAUGCUCAAUUUUUCAUCGAAUUCUCAUGUGUUUUUGGGUAGCAAGGAUGCAAUGGUGGGGCAAGAUUCGAAUGCAGUCUCUCAGGAUGCUUCAUUCCCCAAUUUGUCUCACCCAAUUUCAUCUAAAGCAGCUGGUGACCCACAAAACUGUGACAAUUGGAAAGGCCUUGGUACACAGCAAAGCUGUGAUUGGAUUGUGAAUUAUGCUAAUGGAACGGUGGCUAGUGAAAGCAAUCAAAACCCUAUGUAUGUCGGGGAAGUCUUGUCAGCCAGCUCUAUGAAGGUAAACAACAUUUCUGCAUCUUCACUCGAUUUGAAGCCUAAUUACAGUGGAUAUCAGGAUGUGCAGUCAUCGAUAACCAAUCCAUCCAGUGAAAUUUCUAGUCAAGAUAGCCAGAAGCAUUAUGGUGAAAUCCAUUUCAAUUCUCCUCAACUCUACCGAAACACGCUCCAAGAGGUUGUUACUUCAGCUGCAGUUGGAACCCAGGGGCUAGAAAUGGCAUCCUUUGCGCAUCAGAACAUUAGGGACACUGGCCGUGAUUCAUGGGAAGAUGGUGGGAAUGAACUUGUUCUUCUUCCAAACUUUGGAAAUCAGUCUAGUGCUCUCCGUCUUGAUUCUUCUGUUGCUUGGAUGACUAGGCCAGUAGAGGGUUGCCAUCAGUGGAGUGGUGGUGAUUUGGGUGUUCUUGCAAACAAGAGUCUUGGAGACUUGAGUACCAUUGCAAGUGAUUCUAACGCACAAGGUCUGUCACUUUCCCUUUCAUCACAUCCUUCAUCCAAAAUACAGGUAGCUCAGUUUGGGGAGAGAUAUGAGUCGAAGGAUCUACGUUCUGGAACUGCAGCUUUCAGUUGCCCACAAGAUUUGAAAGUUAUGAGCUCUGGUUAUUUAUGUUCGGAUUCAAAGCCACCUGUUAGUGGUAAAGGGUAUGGAAAUUCCCUUCACGACAUAGUGGGGACUUCUACUUACACUCAUAGGAGUGCUGGCCCUCUUGGGCCAUUCACUGGGUAUGCAACAAUUUUAAAGAGUUCAAAAUUUUUGAAGCCAGCACAACAGGUCCUGGAUGAAUUUUGUAAAGCAGCAAGUCCCAAACUGGUGAAAACAUGUGAGGUAACUCGGAGGACAUCUGGAGAUGUUAGUGUUUCAGUUCCUGAUGCGGUUAACACAUCUGACACUGAGGUUGGAGCUGCCAAGGGUGGCAAUUCAGCUGUCUCGUCCUCCACAUUUUAUGAUUCAAAUGAAAUUAGUGAAGGGGGAGUUAAGAGCAGCUCCUGUGAAUCGUAUAGGCCUGACUACCAACAAAAGAAGGCAAAGCUCUUGUUUAUGCAGGAGGAGGUAUGUUUUGUCCAUUUCUCAUGCCUUGUGCUUCCAUAAUUUAGGUAAAGUGCUUGAGUACACAAUGAACUUAUAUCAAUGUGUUAUAACAAGUAAUAAGACAUGGAAAUUAUUUGUUGUGUUCGUUGAAAUUAGAUUUCAAAAACCUACCACUUGUGUGUUAUAGCACAUUUACACUUUUUUUUUCUUAAAUAGAGGGAAACCAGCCUCUCAGUGACCAGCUUAAACAACUAAUCAGUGGAAAUUUUUUAGAACUUUAGCAAUGGUUGUUUUGGAUGGUGGAUCAAACCAAUAUAUGCUUAUCUUCAGUUUAGAGGUGGUUCAAGCUAUGUGAGGAUUCUGUUUAUUUUUGCCUAUUCCACUACAAAAACUUGUAGCCUCGUGUUUCUGCAAGGAUUGGUAAAAAUGCUUCUUUGCUGGAUGAUCAUUGUUUGUGUGGGGCCCCAUUAGCAAGGACCAUCCAAACAGUCAAUACAUGUUCAGAAAAUAUUCCAACACUGUUGAAAUUGAUUGUAGGAGGAGGUAUUUCAAUGCAAGUCCCAAAACAUGUAGGGUCAAUUCAAAACAAAAUUCAAGGAAAUUAAAUGAUUCACGUUUUAUGCAAUUUAAUGCAAUGACAUUGGAAAGGGGUUGAAAUAGUAGAGAAGAUAUUAGUGGCAUAUUAUUGAAGUGAAGCAAUCAUCUAAAGAUUUGGUGCAGUGAUGAAAGUGAAUUGGGUGGCAAUGCCAUUUGAUAAAGGGAUAAGGCUAGGCAGAAAUAUUUCCAAGAGAUCAAGUUCAGAAUUGUUUAAUUAUUUCUUGUGGCUUAGAGCAAUGUAACAAAGAUGCGCAGAGCAUCCAAAAAUGUGGUAGGGCCUUCAAUAAUGAUGUCCCCAAGAUUUACAUAGUGAAAUUUUUUAGAAUGUUGGGGAGUUCAGCACCUUUCUAAUAAAAUGACAUGCUGAUGGAUUUUGAGGUAGUGUAAUGGCAAGAUAAGGAACCACAUAUAUGGUUAGAAACAAGUAAUAUUUAUGAGAUAUUAGUGUAGAUUGAUCUAGCUGUUAGGGGCAAGAUGAUAUAAAAUAGCUUGAGAUUGUUAAUACAUAUGCAAUGAAGAUCACUAACGCCAAAAUUAUUAGGCAACUAAUAAAAUAGCUUGAGAUUGUCAAUUUAUUUGGGACAAGAUGAUGAAAAAAUAGGUUAAGAUGGUUAAUGCAUAAGUGACUAAGAUGAGGAACUCUGAAAUGACAUUCUUUAGAUGAUCCUCUUAGGGCAAGGGGACGGCCCCAAAAUGAACAUGAAUCAAGGUAGUGAGAAAAGACAUGUUGGUUUAUGGUCUAACCAAUAGUAUGGCUUUAUUAGAUAGAAUAGAAUUUCAAAAUAGGAGUUGCAUAGCCAAAUCCUAAGUAGAUGGGAAAACACCUAUGUUGAAGUGAGUUUAGUUCCUGGGUUGCAUGAGUUUGUGAGCAGAUGUCAGCUGUAAAUUAGCACCUUGAAGUCACAUUCGUCCUAUUUCCAUGUCUUCUUCUAGUUUGCCAACCUAGAGUGUGUUUGGCAAUGUUUCUACUCGAAGUGUUGUUAGUGGAAGGAAGUGUUUUCUACAAGAAUCACUUAUUAAGUGUUUCUCCAAAAACUAAUAUAAGUGAUUUUUCAACACUAUAAGUUAUUUUUUAGAUUUUUAGAAGUAUUUAUAAGUGAUUUUUUAGAUUUUUAGAAGUAUUUCCUAAAUUUUUUCAAAUAGCAAUUUUUUUUUUUCAAAAACACUUUUAGACUGAAAGCAUUUUCUAUAAUCACUGCCGAACGGACUCUUAGUAUCAGUACAUGCCAUUUAAUUGAUCUUAUACCAGUGCGAUUUACAAGUGCUAUGGAUUAAAUAUGUAUCCGAACAUAUGUAGGGAAGACUGCAUUCAUGAUCAGCAUGUUACAAGUAUGUGUUCCUUGCCAUAGUACACUUGAUUUAUUUGGGUCCUCAAGUAUUUACAUUCAUAAUCUAAAUGUCUAAAAUGCCCCUUUGGCCUAAUGUAACUCUCAUUUCUAGGCUCUAGACAUUUCUUGAUCAGCAUUUUGGAAUUCUUAGAUUGAUUAUAUUAAUAUUAGGCUUGAUGUCAAGAAUUUGGCAUAAAAUAUGAAUUUCAAGCCCAUGUCAUUUGAUCUUGGGUUCUUGGAAAAUGCAUGAUACUGAGAUUCCUUGGUGUGUUAAUUAUGAAAUUGUUUCUUUAGGUUGCGUUUUCCAAUUAGAUGUACUGAUCAUGGAUGAGGCGUGAAACUAGGCACUGCAAUAGAAAAUGUAACAAGUGAACUCAAAUAGCUGUGAUUUCAAUGUCUGCAGUUUGAUUGCUUUUCCUGUGACAUAGCCCUGGGCCCUUUUUAACUCUUGCAUUCAUUCUUUAUUGUUUCUUUAUUUUUUUGGAGUCAAAUCUCAUGUUGGACUUGUUUGUCAGGUCUCAUGUAGGUACCACCACCACACAAGGUUGUAAAUAGCUCACUUGUCUUGUCAGUACCAAAGGGGGAAUUGAAUCAUAUCAGAAUUAAAUCAAAACCAAGCAAAUGCAACUGACUUAAUUGCCAUGGAGUUCGCCUCUGGCAUGGCCUCUAGUGCAAAUUUUCUUCAUGGCUACUUAAGCAUGGAAACAAAUUUGCAACACAAUUUUCAACUUGAUAACUCCAUAGGUUGUAUGUACUAAAAUAUCUAGAGCUCCAUAGGUUUAACCUUUUCCUUUUACAAAAGAAAAAUAUGACGCAAAUCAUUAUUGGUUGCAAUGUGGUAUUUAGGACUAUGGUCUAGCUGGUUUCUAAAUUUUUCACGUCUUGUCAUAGAUUAGACUUGUGAUGGGGGGGUUUUAAAUUUGGCUCUUAUUCAAUUAGAUCAUUUCAGAAACAUAUCCUUUCUAUCUGAAACUGAAUUUGCAAUAUGUCUGCCAUAUGUGAAAAUGAACUUGUCUAUUGUACUUAGUGAUGCGCCUGGAUAUAUUCCAACCAAUUUGAGAAUUUGAAUUCCCUAAGUAAUCUAGACACUUUCUUUCUAGUCUGGAUUUUUUUUUUCUGCACUUUGUUGCACUGGAACUGAUUUUACUCUCCAAGAAACGAGUCAUCUGUUUAAUAUUUCAUCAUGGGUUGAAGGGGAGCUUCUUAUUCCAUUCUAGCGUCUUAGUGUUGUUAAUGAUAAUGUAGGUCUUGAUCGUAACAAAGUUCAAGAAAAUUACAUGGUUGAUCUGUAAGCUAGGUUUGAACAAAUUAAUGAUGCAUGUGAUAAAUACCUUACUAGUUAGAUUAUAUUCACAGCAGCGGACGGAUCCUUUCAUGAUCUCAUUUUUCUUUGAUCUUGGAAAUGUUCCUACUCCAAGAUGAUUCUAAAAUUCUAGUUUGUUAACAAUAGAAAGCAGAAGCCUUCUAGUGCCUUGUUUAUUUCCAUACACUUUUUUUUUUUUCACUCAGUUGACUAGCUUUAUUUGAUCAAAGAAAAAGAGGAAUAGAACCUUGCAAUCCUAGAUGAUUAUUGGAGCUUUAAGCUUUGUGCUUUAGUUUGCUUUCCAGUUGGCUUUGGAAUUCAAUGGACGUUUUAAACGUUCCCAGGUAUCAUAAGUUUCUAGGUUGAAGAUUUAAAGGUCUGAUUAUGUCUUGAAUUCUUUUUAUGAGAUUUUUACUUUUUUUAAUUCUUUCUAUGUUCACUACUGGUAGAUUAGAUUUCCAGGUAUUGAAUUUCCAGGUUAUGUUGACUUUCCAAGGUAACUGUUGAUUCAAUGUUAUAUCUCAAAGGGCACAUUCCAAAUGACCAUUUUUCUAUGUGGUAAUCCUGAUGAGAUUUUGAUGCCACAAAAACUUCUGGUUUAGAAUAUACUGAAGUAAUUAUAACCUCUAUUUUGUUUCAUCUUUGGUAAGAGAGAACAUACUGAUUUUUGAAGAGACUUCAUGCUUUUUCCAGGUCUUAAUCAUCAUUAGUUGAUUUGAAAGGCAAAUAAAUAACUGGCUAUGGAGUUGGAGCUAAAUUCCAUGUAGCAAUAAAACAUAACUGUAGAUGCCCCACUUUCUCGUCAUUCAGAUCUUGUUGCUGGAAUCAGAGAUUAUAUGUGCAAUGUUGUGCCCCUUGCCCAAUCAAUUAUUAAUGGAAAAAUGUCAAGUAGAUUAUCCCAGUCUCUAUAGCACCACCAUGGCAAUUAGAUAUUCUCAAAUAACAGUGCACCCUUCUUUUUUAAUCACUUUAGCAAAGCAAAGUCCCAAGCCCAAUAAAUUGUCUUCUUGCAAUAUGUGAAGGCCCCAUUACAGGUUUAAAAGAAGAGCCUCUGUGGUUGUAGAGUUGCCAACAACACUUCAAAAAUUCUCAACCUUCCAGCUUGUUACUAUUGAUUUUUGGCAUAAGUUGGGACCGGUCAAUGAUUAUAGAGUAGUGUAGUUCAACAAGUAUCACUCAUCUAUAAUUGUUUUUUUUUUAUUAUUUUGCAUUAUUGUCGUAACAAUGGGAUGCAACUGGCGCGUUUGCUAUGAUUGGUUGAUCUUGAAUCCAUUGUUGAGAAAUAUCUGCUUCCAGGAUUUUAUCUUUAAUGCAUUAGUAAUUUGUCAUUCAUGGUGUUUGGUCAUGAAUUUUGUUAUUGGAAAAUCACAUUUUGGUGACACUGCUUCAUUGUGCUAUUGAAAGGUUUGCAGAAGGUACAAGCAAUAUCAUCAACAGAUGCAAAUGGUGGUUUCAUCCUUUGAAACUGUAGCAGGCCUCAGUGCUGCGACCCCCUACAUUGCCCUGGCUCUGAAAACAGUCUCGAGGCACUUUCGGUUCCUGAAGAAUGCCAUAUCAGACCAGCUUAGGCACAUAAGGAAAGCCUUGGGGGAGGAUUUGUCAUCCCCCAGCACUGGUGCCUGCACUAGUGCAGGGGAUGCAAGUUCACCAAGGUUAAAGUUCAUGAACCAAAGCUUUCCGAAACACAAACCUGGUGGGGCUAACCUGGGUUUCCUUGAACCCCAACAACACGUCUGGAGGCCCCAACGAGGCCUACCAGAAAGGGCGGUGGCUAUUCUUAGAGCUUGGCUGUUUGAGCAUUUCCUUCACCCGUUAGUCUCUCUCUCUCUCUCUAUUCUUCUCUCCCAUUUGAUUUUUGUACAUUGUUUUGUUACAUCAACUUUUUGGUUUUUGUUAGGUAUCCAACGGACACAGAUAAACAUAUGCUAGCCACUCAAACCGGUCUCUCUCGAAAUCAGGUAGGUCCAACACCUCGGUUAUCAUUUUAUUAAUAUAUUUAACUUUCUAACCUUGAGUUUGGUGACUGAAAUAGCACUUAUGUGACGUUUUCAAAUGGGCUGGCAUGUGGGUCAGAAUCCAUAAUAACACAUCUGCCUUCAUUUUAUGAUUAUUGAUUGAUGCAAUUCUACCUAACACCUGUCUAAUCUAGCUGGCAAGACAGUCUUCUCAUUUUGCCUCACAGAAAAUACCCUUUGCCCUGUCAUUAAUAUCAGAAAUGGCAUGCUAAAUUGGGGGAAUGUGAGUUUGAAGUAUUGUGCCAUUAUCGCUAUAUGAAAUUAAUCUGGUGAAGGUCGCCCAGCUGUCAUGCCAUGGCAUGAGAUUAUCAGUCUAUGGUUCCUGCUUGACAAUGUUUUGCAAUGAAAUGCAUGCCCGCAUAAUGUUUUUUUGUUAGGUGAUGAUAUUCAGUUGAUUAAUGCAGGU